RNAcentral lists this long non-coding RNA (81053 nucleotides) under Citrus x clementina. RNAcentral describes it as "Citrus clementina (C. clementina) long non-coding RNA (CCLE_LNC005170)". The stretch from base 41184 to 41287 matches the Rfam family "Plant small nucleolar RNA R71". The record is from RNAcentral. Lineage: Eukaryota; Viridiplantae; Streptophyta; Magnoliopsida; Sapindales; Rutaceae.
GGGUACGAGAAAUGGCACCAAUGCCAAUACUUUUUGGAGGGAUUACUACCAAAUGUGCAAGAAUGGCUAAUGGCAACAAGUGGAGGAGAGCUAAUGUCAAAAAGUGCAUCAGAGAUUUGGGAAUUUUUCCAGCGACAAGCGGAUAAUUCCCAACAACGGAGUCGAUCACUCAGGAAUACUAGAAGAAUUAAAGAAGUGAAUGAGGUUCAAAUUGGCGAAUCAAAUUCAGAAAUCAAAGAAGUCAAAGCGAUAAUUGAAGGUCUCUCUCGACAAAUAGCAUCGUUAUCGACUGCUAAAUCAACAGAGGCACAUGACCAUGACUCAUACUUAGAUCAAGCCAAUGCCAUAGGUGUAAUGAGAAAACCAUCGAAUUACAACCCAUACUCCAACACAUAUAACCCUGGAUGGAGAGACCACCCCAAUUUUUCAUGGUCUCAAGGAUUCCAACAGAAUGGACCAGCAGCUCCAGCUCCACCAAUGCAACAAAUUGCUCAAAAUUCUCAAGCCUCUCAGCCCCCAUUUAGACCAUACAAUCAAAACCAGAAUUACUCUCAACCCAGACCAUGGGAGGAUUCAUUCCAGAAUCUCAAGAAUCUUACUCACUCCACAAUUGAGCAACAGAACCGCACCAUUGAUGGACUACGAAAUGAGUUGAGAGCAGGCUUCAACUCACAAGCUCAAUCAGUUUCAAGCCUGGAGAAGAUGGUGGGACAACUCGCUUCUUCAGUUCAGACCUUGGCAAUGACUGUUGAGAAAGGAAAAUUUCCAAGUCAACCAGUGCCUAAUCCUAAAGGAGUGCAUGAAGCGAGUACCAGUUCACCACAGCAGCAUGGAGAGGUCAAAGCAAUAAUGACCUUGCGAAAAGAAAAAGAAAUCGACAACAAAGUGGAGAUGCCGGUGACAAAGGAAAAUCAAAUUGUACCUGUGAACGUUGAGGACUCACCACCGGAGGAGAGAGAAGAAGCCAACCCACGAGAAUACGUUCCCAAAGCUCCAUUUCCUCAGAGGUUAGCGAAAGGAAAAAAGGAAAAAUCUACAGGUGAGAUUCUCGAAAUCUUCAAACAGGUAAGUGUUAACAUCCCUUUACUUGAUGCUAUAAAGCAAGUUCCAUCUUAUGCCAAGUUUCUUAAAGAUUUGUGUACUAAAAAGAGAAACAUGCAUGUUCAAAAGAAGGCAUUUUUAACAGAAAACGUUAGUUCUAUACUCCAACAUAAAAUUCCUUUAAAAUGCAAAGACCCAGGCUACCCCACUAUCUCAUGUAGUAUAGGGAACCACACAAUUGAGAAUGCUUUGUUGGAUUUAGGAGCUAGUGUAAAUUUAUUGCCUUACUCUGUGUUUGUGAAACUUGGACUGGGAGAAUUACACCCAACUCCAGUGGUGUUACAACUUGAGAUCGGUCCACGAAAAUACCUCGUGGUAUUGUGGAGGACGUGCUUAUCCAGGUAGACAAGUUUUAUUUUCCUGUUGAUUUCAUUGUAAUUGACACUCAACCAAUACAGGAUUCAAGGAAGCACAUCCCCAUUAUUCUAGGCCGACCUUUCUUGGCAACUGCGGAUGCUCACAUUCAAUGUAGGACCGGAAAUAUGCAAUUGUCCUUCGGCAAUAUGACUAUGGAGUUGAACAUCUUCAACAUUGCCAAACAACCUCACAAUGCAGAUGAUGGAAUUGUUGAUGUGGAUUUAAUAGAAGCAUUAGUUGAUGACACUUUUGUUUCAAACCUUAGUGAUGAUCCUUUACAGACAUGCUUAACUCACUUUGGUUUUGAUUUUGAUAUUGACAGAUCGGUCGAAGAGGUCAAUGCCUUACUUGACUCAGCACCAUCUAUGGACACUAAUAAAUGGAAGUCAAGAGUUGAACAACUAGCACCAUCAGAGAAGAAACUCAUCCCAUCAUCAGAAUCACCACCGAAACUCGAGCUCAAACCAUUACCCAACACUUUGGAAUAUGCAUUUUUGGGAGAAGAAAGUUCUCUGCCGGUAAUCAUCUCAUCAUCCCUCAAUGAUGAACAAAAAGGUAAGUUGUUGGAUGUUUUAAAAGAGCACAAAGGAGCAUUAGGAUGGACCAUAGCAGACAUCAAAGGUAUAAAUCCAGUAGACUGCAUGCAUUACAUUCACCUUGAUGAAAAUGCUAAAUCUACUAGGGAAAUGCAACGUCGGUUAAAUCCUAAUAUGAAAGAAGUGGUUAGAACUGAAGUCCUUAAGCUAUUAGAUGCAGGUAUCAUUUACCCCAUUUCUGAUAGUUCAUGGGUCAGUCCUGUACAAGUUGUCCCCAAAAAGUCAGGAGUCACAGUAGUUACGAAUGCCGAUAAUGAAUUGAUACCAACUAGAGUAACUACAGGAUGGCGUGUAUGCAUUGAUUAUCAAAAAUGAAUUCUGUCACAUCUAAAGAUUAUUUUCCUUUACCAUUUAUNNNNNNNNNNNNNNNNNNNNNNNNNNNNNNNNNNNNNNNNNNNNNNNNNNNNNNNNNNNNNNNNNNNNNNNNNNNNNNNNNNNNNNNNNNNNNNNNNNNNAUAGAUUAGCAGGCCACGAAUUUUAUUGCUUUCUAGAUGGUUACUCAGGAUAUAAUCAGAUUCCCAUAGCACCAAAAGAUCAAGAGAAAACUACUUUCACUUGCCCUUUUGGCACAUUUGCAUAUAGGAGAAUGCCAUUUGGAUUAUGUAAUGCACCUGCUACAUUUCAACGAUGCAUGUUGAGCAUUUUUUCUGAUAUGGUUGAACGAUUCCUUGAAGUCUUUAUGGAUGACUUUUCUGUCUUUGGUGACUCGUUUGAUCAAUGUUUACAUCAUCUAACGCUAGUUCUGCAGAGAUGUAUCGAGAAGAAUUUGGUCUUAAAUUGGGAGAAGUGCCAUUUUAUGGUAAAACAAGGUAUUGUCCUCGGUCACAUCAUUUCGAGUAAAGGUAUUGAGGUGGACAAAGCCAAGGUGGAUCUCAUUUCUAAUCUUCCUUCACCCAAAACAGUCAGAGAAGUAAGAUCUUUCCUUGGGCAUGCUGGUUUCUAUAGACGUUUCAUUAAAGAUUUUAGCAAAGUUUCUAGACCCUUAUGCAAUUUACUUGCUAAGGAUGUACCUUUUAUCUUUAAUGAUUCAUGUCUCAUGGCGUUUGAAAAAUUAAAACAAUUGUUGACAUCAUCACCCAUCAUUCAGGCCCCAAACUGGAGCUUACCAUUUGAGCUCAUGUGUGAUGCAUCUGAUUAUGCAGUAGGAGCAGUUUUAGGACAAAGAGUUGAUCGAAUUCCUCAUGUUAUUUACUAUGCUAGUAUGACAUUGAAUGAUGCACAGUUGAACUAUUCAACUACUGAAAAAGAAAUGCUAGCAGUAGUGUUUGCAUUGGAAAAAUUUCGAUCUUAUCUCAUUGGUUGUAAAAUAAUUGUGUUCACAGAUCAUGCUGCUCUUAAAUAUCUUCUCACAAAGAAAGAUGCAAAAGCUAGACUAAUUCGUUGGGUGUUACUUUUGCAGGAAUUUGACUUGGAAUUCAAAGAUAAGAAAGGGUCAGAAAAUGUUGUGGCGGACCAUCUCUCUCGUCUUCACUUUGACACAAUUACAGAGCCAUUAAUAUUAAAUGAGUCAUUUCCAGAUGAACAAUUAAUGAGUGUGGAAGUAUUACCUUGGUAUGCUGAUAUAGUUAAUUAUCUUGUUACAGGUAAACUUCCAGAGCAUUGGACCAAGCAAGACAAGAUCAAAUUCUUUGCGGAAAUAAAGAAUUUCUUUUGGGAUGACCCGUAUUUGUUCAAGUAUUGUGCAGACCAAAUUGUUAGACGAUGUGUCCCAGAAAAUGAAAUUCAGAAUAUCCUUUCAUUCUGCCAUGAACAAGCUUGUGGAGGCCAUUUCAGUGCUAAGAAAACAGCGACUAAAGUUUUACAAUGUGGUUUCUAUUGGCCAACACUAUUUCGAGACGCUUACACUUUUUGUUCUUCAUGUGAUAGGUGUCAACGAAUGGGGAGCAUUACACGAAGGAACAUGAUGCCACUAAAUCCAAUUUUAGUGGUUGAGAUUUUUGACGUAUGGGGUAUCGACUUCAUGGGACCCUUUCCCCCUUCUUUUGGCCAUCAAUACAUAUUGGUUGGUGUUGACUACGUCUCAAAAUGGGUAGAAGCAAUUCCAUGUAGAACCAAUGAUCAUAAGGUGGUGAUAGGAUUUUUGAAAAACAACAUUGUCUCACACUUUGGAUUCCCUCGAGCAAUAAUCAGUGAUGGUGGUGCCCACUUUUGUAACAAAGCAUUCAAAGCUCUUUUGACAAAGUAUUCAAUCACACACAAAGUGGCAACUCCGUAUCAUCCGCAAACCAGUGGCCAAGUUGAGAUAUCCAAUCGAGAAAUAAAGCACAUAUUAGAAAAAACGGUGAGGCCAGACAGGAAAGAUUGGUCAUUAAGACUAGAUGAUGCAUUAUGGGCAUAUAGAACGGCUUUCAAGACCCCGAUUGGGAUGUCACCCUACAGGCUAGUGUAUGGAAAAGCUUGCCACCUACCUGUGGCACUCGAACAUCGUGCAUAUUGGGCCAUCAAGAAGUUCAACUUUGAUAUGCAGCAUGCCAGCUCAGAAAGAAGAUUACAACUGGCAGAACUUGAAGAAAUUCGCAAUGAUGCAUACGAAAAUGCCAAGAUUUACAAGCAACGAAUGAAAGUCUUUCAUGACAAGCACAUUAUGAGAAAAUCUUUCACUCCAGGUCAGAAAGUGCUUUUGUUCAAUUCUCGCUUGCACCUAUUUCCAGGUAAGUUACGCUCUCGUUGGUCUGGUCCAUUUAUUGUUCAUACUGUUUUUCCACAUGGGGCAAUUGAAAUUAAAGACCCAAAGAACGGUGUCACGUUUAAAGUCAAUGGUCAAAGAUUAAAGCCAUAUUUAGAGUACCAAGCACAUGGAGAAGACACCGAAAUAAAUUUAAGUGACCCACCAGAUUUGAAUUGAUUUUUUUCGUUGAUUCGAUUUUUCUUUCUUUCUUUUUAUUUGUUAAUUGAAAUUAUUUUUGCAUAAGUGUGUUUGUUUUUCCAUUAAAUUUUUUAUCAUUGUUAAUCAUGAGUACCAUACUUAGACCGUUCCUCCUGAACAUUCUUAAACCACUUCAACGUGUCAAAACUCAUCUCAAAAGGCAGAUUCAAUUUUGUAAAACACAUCGCACUUGGGCUCUACAACCACCAGAGUUAGUAGCCUAUGUUGAGGGUUUAGAAAGCCAACUCAGAGAUAUUGAGAGAAGUGUUUACGACAUCCAGUUGGAGCUUGAGGUAAAUUCAAUACGAGGACGAUUUUGAUUUUCUUUGUGUGUUUUAAUUUGUUUUUCUGUUUGUGUGCUUUAGUUUGUUACCUCGGUGAAGUGGCGGAUAACGGUACUCCGUGACAAUCAAGUCGGUUACUUCAGUUUCCCAUAAUAACUGAUAUUCUGAGGCGAAGGUAUGGACAGAAACGAGAUUCUAGCGAAGCUUCACAAGCGAUUCCCUUCACUCCCUCAGAAUGCCCUCCUUACGAUCUAUAAAGCCCGAUCUGAACGCAUGCGAUUGCUCAUGAGGAAUAACAUACCUGCAGACAUCCGUUGGUUAAUCGAGGCUAAAGUACGAUUAGCAGGUGAGUUACCUCCUAAAUUUAUUGCAUACAUGCCUGGUUGUGGUAAAGGAAAUUAUGCAAGAAAACGACGAGCUCGAAGAAUUUCUGUUGCUUGUCACAAGUGUGCCAGAAUGAUUUGCGAUAGAAACCCAUGUUCUUUAGGAAUGAUGUCUGAUAACAGAGAAGAUAAGAUUCAAUUCAUUAGGGAUGGCUUGAAUAAGGAGUCAUUGGAUGAUAUCCUUUUAUCUCUUGAAACGCAUCCCAGUGGAUAUGUGCAAGGAGCGAUUCUCCAGUUAUGGCCAUUAUUCCAGAAAGAGCAUGCACGAUAUAGUCUCGGGAAUCUGACUAUAAACGACCCUGUUUGCCUGUUUAUAAGAAAACUGGAUGGGAAGCCUAUCCUCGACCCAUAGAGGGCGUUCAAGCCGUUUCUGGACGUAAAACCAGAGGAAGAUGUGAGCCACAGUCGCAACUACGUGUAAAUAUCCUUUUACUUUACUGUUAUUUUAUUUCAUUUCACUGUUGUUUUAUUGUUUGCAUUAUUGUCUUUAAUAAUUUUAUUACUGUUUGCUUUUUCCUUUUUACUGUUUUCUUUUUGACUCGCGAGCCAUGUGCUUCAUGCGUUAUUUGACACUAACAUGUUACCUCAUUCACAGCUGUGACCCACUAUCACCAAGACUCUUAAAUGUGAUUUCUUUUGUCAAACACUCACAAAUUGUUUUUGAGAAAUAUUCCAAUGGCAGCUACUCCCAAUAGACAAUUCAAGAACAUUUGUGUGCUUUCUGGAUUUACCUAUGGCAAACAUAAAGAGUUCGUUGAGGCAGCCAUAGAUCUUGGUCGAAGCAUAGCAGCGAGAAAUUUACACUUGGUGUAUGGAGGAGGUAAUCGAGGGUUAUCAAAAAUGGUCUCCGAAGCAGCUUUUAUCAGAGGAAGUCAAGUGUUAGGCAUCAUCCCAAGAGUCCUAAAACCAUUGGGCAGUUCGUCUGACUCAUCAACUGGAGAAGAGUUAGUCGUCUCAGGUAUGCAAGAAAGAAUAACUGAAAUGCUUAAUCAUGCUGAUGCUUUUGUUUUCCUUCCAGGAGAUCUUGCAACACUAGAGGCACUUAUGACACUAGCAUCUUGGGCCCAUCUGCACAUCCACCAGAAACCCAUCGGUUUGUUAAAUGUCAAUAACUUUUAUGAUGGCUUUAUCGCAUUUCUUAACCAUGCAAUAAAAAACUACUUCAUUCCUUCUAAUGUGAAAAAACUUUUUAUUUGUGCUCACACUGCUAAUGAGCUACUUGAUAUGUUACAAGCUUAUAAACCGGAGCCAGACCCCUGGACCUUUGUGUUGGAGCGACCAAAUAAUGAUGGUAACAGUAGCCGCAGUAAGAAGUACAAAUUAGAUUUAACUCUCCGCCUGUAAAUAUUUUCUUCUGUGUUGCACCACCCAGGUGAUGUCUUCUAAACUCUACUUCUUUCCUUUAAAACAUUGAGGACAAUGUUUCGUUCUGGUUGGGGGGAGGGAAUAGUCGACAAUUGUGGAAUCUUGGUUAAGUUUUUACUAUUUUUUUUGUUGUAGAAACUAAUUGUUGCUAACGUUUUGUGUUGAAGAUGGCUGAAUAUGGAGUGUAGUUACUCUAGAAACGCAUCUUCAUCGUUUUAAAAAAAAAAUUGUUUUCUUCCUCUUUCUCCUUUAUAAAUAUAUAUUUUCCAAUUUUUGAGUCGAAGAUGGCUGAAUAUGGAGUGUCGUGCCUCUAGAAACGCAUCUUCUUAGUUAAAAAAAAAUAAUAAAAAUUUCUUUUUCUAAUAAAUUUUUCUACAUCAUUUUCACAUUUCUGCAUGCAUAUUUUUCUUUCAUGUUUAGAAUAGGUUGGGGGGUAGAAUGUUGUUAAAAAAAAAAUUUGUGUUAUUUGUUUUAACAUUGGAUGACAUGAUUAAUUUCAAAUUUUAUUAUUUGUAUUAUCUUUGGUCUUAAGUGAUGUUACGCUAUGUUUGCUACUUUACAUGUUGAUGUCGGAGAUAAAUAUGAGUUGCUUGAAGGAAUGAACAUGUCAUAAAUAAGUGCCAAGUGAGUUGUUGAGCCUAUCAUUUUCUUGGAGAGUAACCAUUUUGCCCAUUCUCUAUACAGCUUAGCAGUUUAUUAUUUUAUACACGAUCUCUACAUUUCUUUUGAGUUAACCCUUUAAAAAAAAUGGUAAAAAAAAAGAAAAAAAAGAAAAAAAAUGUGUGUUGCUACAUUGGGAGGCCCAUCUAACUAGUAGAUAUGGAUAAUUAUUUAGAGCCCUAAAAGACGAUAGAAAGGCCAUCUUUGAUCCGUUUGAGCCUUUCUAGCCAUCCCUUUUAUUAAAUAUCCAUAGUUACCCUUUUUGAACCUUUAAAAAAAAAAAAAAAAACCUUUUCUUUGUCAACUUAUCAUCUUAACCCACUCCGAUUUGGAGUAUUACCCGAUGUCUUAUAAGUUCCAUCACCUAUUUAUGUUUGAGAAAAUGUAAAUAAUUAUGUUGUUCAGUGAAGUUAUGACAAAUAAAAGCUAAAAAAAAAAAAAAGUUGUUGUUUCAAAAGAAUAAAAAUAACAACAAUAGGUGAAAUACACCUUGCAACUUCAAAAAAAAAAAAAAAAAAUUCUCUGCAUUUUUCUCAAACUUAUACUUUGUUUUCCUUAUUUCCUUUCUUUGUUAGCCAUAUCCCUAGCCUACGUUACGUCCUAAUAAAAGUCCUUCUUGAUUUUAGGGAACUAUAGUUUGAAGUAGAAGCUAGUUAUAUGGGCUAAAAAGAUGUAGUGAUGCUUAAAAAAAAAAAAAGAAAAAAAAAAGACAUAAAUAAAGUGGGUUAACUAACAUUUUAUUUGACUUGAGAUCAUAUUAUUUCUAAGCUGAGGGCAUAUUUAUUUCAUCUUGGUGAGAGCAUGUGAUAUCAUUUCUUUAUUAUUUUCUCUCUCAAUUACCAUUGAUUGGAGUGACUAUGUUUAUUGGGUUUUAAUUUCUUUGUGAGAGUGUCACUACUUCCAGUGAGAUUUUGGGGUUUGACAUGUCAUUCUUGAAAGUAGCUAUAACAAAGUCUACUGGGCUAAUUCAUGUGGAUGGUUGAUGUGGGUGUGAUGUUGCUUUAGACUAGAGAUAAUGCUUAUACUUUUAUUUGAUUGCUAUCAUUAAUCUGAUUGAAUAAACACGAGUGUUUCUAAAAAAAAAAAAAAAAAUCAUUUCGAAUUUGAAUUUUGUUUUCGCUUUAUUUGCUAGGGACUAGCAAUAAGCUGGUUGGGGGGUGUGUUGAGUGUUAGAAAAUGCAUAUUUAUAAAGGAGAAAACCGUCAUUUUACAUUUCAAGUCUUACUAACAACCCUUAUUUUUAUGUAUUUAACAUUCUUAUGAUUUAAUUACGUGUGUUUUAUUUUAAUUAAGUAAUUUAUGUAUUCUAGGGGCAUUAUAGUCAUUUCACAAUAAAGGAGAGAUCAGACGGCAAAACGGACAUCACUUUUGAACUCAGGACGGUCGAAAACCUUAGGAGGACCAUAAAAGGAAAAAUGACACUAUUCACAUUAUAUCAGUGGACGAAAAAUCUCGCGUACGGUGCAUGCAUCACACAGGAUUAGUUUCAACCAAACCGCGUUACUGUUCAUCCGGGUCAAACCGUGUUAUUGUUCAUCCGCGUGGUCAAACCGUGGACUGUUGACUGAUGACGUGGCGCAAUCCUGAGCGUCCAAACUGUUUUUAAUCCGAUGGCCAUGAUUUACUCCAUGUAUCUAUAAAAAGGGGGCCUCCCCCCCCUAAUUUGAUAUCUCUGAAUCCAUUUUUGGGAUCCAUUUUCUGUAAUUCCCUCUCCAUCUUGUAUUUUCUUCGUAUUUUAAUAAAUUCUCAUUUUGCCCCUAGUUCAAUUAUGAGUGGCUAAUUUUCUUUUAAGCUUGGGUUGAAGGUGAAGUCUCAACAUGUGUCAUGGGCUUAAUUUGGUAAAUUUAUUUUCUCUUCCCCUCUAGUUUUUGUGGAUGUUUUGACUUCUCGUCGACAAAUAAUACUAAUCUUGUCUAGUACCGCCUUGGUUUCACCGGCCCUCUAGUACAAGGUUAUUAUUAUUUAACACGAUAAGCCCUUAGCACCAUAUUGAUUAGAGCGUGGUUCAUGAUGUGUGGAUUCCCCCCUCAUGAUUUAAUUGGCAUUAAUAAGGAAUAUUUAGCCCAUGAUGCAUGUUGAUACGGAUCCAGAUACCCAAGUACGUCAUUUCAAUAGAUCUUCGCUUCAAUUUAUUCUCGUCAUUUCAAUUCCAAUUUCAGAAUUUAUUAUCGCCAUUUUAAUUUAAGUUUUAGCAUAUUCCAAAUCAUUUCCACCAAAAAUUCCAACCACUCAUUUACAAAAUUAAUUCUAUACACAAUUAAAAUCCACCUCCUCGUGGGAUCGACACUCGUCACCAUUAGUCUAUACUACAAUAGAUUCGUGCGCUUGCGAGUACAUUAAAAUUUGCACAACAAUAAAUGUAAAGGUUAGAUGCAUAAAGAUAAUUGUUAGUUGCAUAAUUUUAGGAAAAGUUAUAUUAAUCCACGUUGGCCUGAUACCCUUUUGUAUAUUCCUUAUUCUCAAGUAAGUCAAGUAAAGUUAGAUAUGACAUAAUAAAAUUGAAAUUGAAAGGUAUUAACAUGAUUGUUAGUUAUCAUGAUUGUUAAUAACUAAAAGGGAGUGUUUAACAUGAUAAUACGCUUGCAAAGAACUAAAAUGUAAAUUGCAUUAAUAGAUGAUAACAUAGAGUUAUAUUAAUCCAGGUCGGUUUAAUACCCUUCUUCAUAUAUUCCUUCUCAAAAUGUGAAUGUUUGAGUUUUCUUUAGCGUCGUUCAUAGAAAAAAAUAGGAAAUAAAUAAAAUUACAGAAAUACAAAAUCAGUAUAGUUGUUAGAGAAUUAAUAUAAUUGGAAUAAACAAGAUGAAGAGUAAAUAGAAGAUAAAUUGGUCUUGAGUCUAGUUUGAGAGACUAUUUUGAUCUUUUUUUACCAACUUGGUUGCCAUUUGGCUUGAACCCCAAAGUUCAAAGUUUUCUAUUGGUCAAAUGAGUUUUUUAUUUUCUUGCCCUCUAAUUCCAGUAGUUCAUAUGGAGGAGAAAACUCCAAUUUUCCUUCAAUCGUUGGCUUUAUAGCCUCUUUAAUCAUAUUUGAGGUUUGGGUGUUGAAUCAAGCAUAUGCGAGUAUUUACCUCUUUUCACAACCAUACACAACCAGGUCUAAUCUAAUAAGGUAAUUGUAGAAUUGUGGUUGUGUAGUUUUAGUGAGAGAAAAUGGCUUCCAUAUUAAGGAAAAAACCCCAUUUUACCUUGUAAAAAUUUGUUAUAGCAUUAAAUAUAUCGUAAUGAUAAUAAUGCUCAACUAUAAUAUAAUCAUUCUACUAACAAGAAUGUCUUGUGCCUUUCAGAUGGUGAGGUCUCAUAUCAGGCACAUCUAUCUCAUUUUUUAAAAAAUAAAAUUACAUUCUCAACAAAAGUUUUGCAACCAUAGUCUUGUAGCCUUUGAAGACGUUUUCUGGUAGUUGAGACUAAAUGCACAACAUUUAAAUGUCUCGAGAUUUCAAUUGUAAUGCUUGACAAAGUAAUCACUCACCCCCAAAGCUUUAUUUAAUAAAUAUAAAAUAAAAACAAAUUUAAAAGAUGUCACUAAUUCACAUGAAUAUGUAGCCUCUUUAUGUAUGCCAUUAUUAGGCCUACAUUGUAUCAACUUCCAUGAACUCUACAAACAACACUAAACAAAUCAAGUAACCUGUUGACAAAACAUAAAUGAGAACUCCACUGAGUAGCUCCAGAUCGUUGUAAAGUAUGAAUUUGAAAUCUAUGGAUUCUAAUAGAUUUCAAUUCAGAAAGACAUUUGGCAGAUGAUGUUAGAACAUCUACAAUUAAUUCUAAUACAGAAAGGAAAAGACAUACAUCUGGCACAUCAUUAGAUGCGACAACUAAUGAAAGUUAUUGUUGAUGUGCAAAACAACAUACAUAAUAUGCAUAUGGACAAUCUUUCAAAAAUAAUGCUUGUAAUCCAUUCCAUGCACCCUGAUGUUACUAGUGUUGGUUUGAAAAAUAUUUUACAGUGGAAAUAUUUGGAUCGCAAUUUUCAUACAAUAUAUAAAAUUACCAUAAUCUAUAAAUUGUACCUUUGCUUUUUUGCUGAAGUAAUCUAGGCUCCCAGAUCACGAUCCGUCACCACCAUUCCUGUUAGAUCACGAUCCGUCACCAAUGAUUUUCCAGGUUAUGACUCAAGUUUGAUCUGCAUUUGACGUGUGGGGGCCUUUAUCACCAUUAAAAGCAACGAACAAGAGAAAAUAUUUCUCUCAAAAUUAGAGAGAAAAACUCUUUUUCUCUGAUCUGUAUAUUGUGGCUCCUCUCACUUUUUAGAGAAAACAAGCCAUUUUAUAUCUCUAUUUGGUGGAAACCCUAGGCUCCAUAUUUAUAUAUUUUUUAAUUCUAUUAAAUCAAAUUUGAUUUAAACAAAAAAAUAAUAAAACCAAAAGUAGCAUUACUUGUUCUUGUUAUAGGGGCCCACUUUGUAAAAUAACACAAAGCCCCUUACACACAAGCAUAUUAAAUGGAGCCUCCCAUUAAAUAAUAUAUUUAAACUUUUAACCCAAAUGCUAGUUACCUUACUUAUUAAUCAAGUAGCGUCGCAAUAAAUUAAAUGAGCUAACCUGGGGUACAUACAAUGUGGCUACAAUAAUUAGGUUUGUGAUUAAACUAGCCCAAUUAUUUAAUUCCAAAUCUACUCCACUAAAAGAUUGGAAUUUACCUCCAUAAUUGUAUGCUAUCUAGGACAGUGUUCUCAAAUAAUAAUUUGACCCAUGCCACAUUGAUUUCUUUACUGAACAAUCCUUUGUACCACAUCACUAAAUAAAUUGAUAUCUCAACUGUCCAAUCAAUUUAAUUACAUCUUGUUCCUUGACACUUACUGAUUUUCUCUAAUGAUCAUUUUCAACAUACUAAUUAUGUUGACACACUCUGGCCAGAGAAUUCUAUGAUCAAGUGUCAAAAACCCAUUAAGAGAUGUGUUGUACAAAUUCUAUAUUGUUAAUCUAGAAUCUCACUGCUCAUAAUUGCUUCCAUGAAGAUACCGGGUAAUCUUGACUACAAAUUUAUGUCGCACCCAUUGAUAACUCAAAUAAAAUGACAAUAAAAAAACAUGAAACUAUAAUUAACUCAAGAUUAAGAUUGCAAUAAAAUCAAUGCUAGUGAGAUUUAAUAAGUCUGACAGUUAUAUCAAGGUUAAUUAAAUAUCAUAUGUGAUCCAGUUCAAUAUAGUCAAACUACAUUAGUAAAUUCACACAUGAUCAAGACAAAUCAAUCAAUGAAUUUAUUACAGUCUAAACAUAAAUAGAGCGCCCAACUGUAUUUAGCAACUGCAAACUUAAUUUAUUUAAUCAUAAGAUAACUGUAUUUAUGUCUUCUAUGAAUCCUUAUGAUGAUUACAUAAAUACAUAUAAUAUGAUUAAACGGACCUUAUUCAAAAUAUCUAUGCAAUUGAAAAUAUCUAUGCAAUUGAAAAUAUCUCAAAUAUUUUAUUAGUUAGAAAAUAAAUAAAUUAAUAUGCUUUAAAGAGCACAUAAUCCCAACAAUCUCCCACUAGCUCUUAAAGCAUAUCUGGCAUAUUGCACAUGCUCUAGGGCUCUAAGUAUAAGUUAUAAAGGUUUCCCACUAAUGGCCAUUGUAAUAAGAUCUGCCAUAUAGCAUCUAAUUCCAUUUGAGGUACUGCCAUAACCUUUCUACACUAUUCCCUUAUAAAAUGAUAUUUCCUCUCAAUAUGUUUUUGUUUCUUGUGGUUCCUUGUUUCCUUAGAUUGAGCUACCACACCACUAUUAUCACAAAAUAGUUUAAGGGGUGCAGUUAUAAUAGGUACCACUUCAAUAUCUUGUAGGAACUUGCGGAGCCAUACAACUUCUUUUGCAGCUUCAGCUGCAGCCACAUAUUCAGGUUCAGUUGUGGAGUCUGAAAUACAAGUGUACAACCCAAGAGCGGGGGUGAAUUGGUACUUUAAAAAAUUAUCCUAUCAAAGCCAGACAACAAUCCAAUCUAAUGCCUUAACAAAUUCAAAAGCUAUAAGUUCAAUAAACGUGCAAUAACAAAUGAGUAAGAGAGAAGAGAAACAAACACACGAAGUUUUACGUGGUUCGGCAAUCUCCGCCUACGUCCACGCCUCCAAGCGAUCCAAGCUUGAGGAUUUCACUAUCCAAGCCUUCCUAGGCUUCAAAUGUUUACAAUUGACUUCAAGGUGUCAAUAAACCUUUACACCAAAGAGAUUAUCUCCCAAUCUCUUCACUCAAGUGUCUCACACACUCAAACACUCACAAUUAAGAUGAAGAAAUGAAAGUUACAAUAAAAAAACUCUCUUGAAGAGUAGAUGUACAAAUUGAAGAACAACAAUGAUUCAAUAAAUAACGACUUGCGAAUUGAGAGCUCAAGAUAUGUUGUAUGCUUUUUGUUUUUGCUUGUUGAAGAGCUAUAAAAUGAAUUGGAUUUGAGUUUUUAUAGUUUGAGCUAAAAAACUAGCCGUUAUGCACAUUUUGGUCAUAACCAGCUUACUGUUUAUGGACAUCUGGUUAGCCGCUUAAUGUUACCGUUACAGCCACAAUUUUGAAUUUCUGAACAUCCGGUAUGCCGCUUGUGAAAUCCGGUUAGCCGUUUAAGUUCCAGAAAUAUUCUGCCCGAAUCCGGUCUACCAUUUGUCAAGAUCGGGAUAGCCGCUUGCUACAGUAACUGCUACAGUGAUCUAUGUUUCAAAAUUAUAGUUUGACCCCUAAACUUUAUAAAACUGUGUUAUGCCCUUAAACGUUAUAAAAAGUUUCAAAUAGGUCCAAUUUCAGAAUUUCUAAAUAUUACUUUAUUAAUCCUAAAACUUUCUGAAAUUAAGACAUGACCCAAAAUAUGUGAAAUUAUAGAAUGACCCAAAACAUUUAAAUAUUUUCAAAUAGGUCCAAAUCGGAAAUUCAAAACAAUAAUUUAUUAAAAUCAAAGAUUAUGAAACACAACUUAACUCCAUAAAAACAUUUUCUUAUUGUAAAAGCACAAUAUAUAAAUCUUUGUUUAAUCAACACAUUUGGUUUGUUAUCAUCAAAAUCAAUAUCUAUAGCCAUAUGGCUAACAAUCUCCCCCUUUUUGAUGAUGACAAAACACAUUAUAAAAAUUUAAUCUAGUUAUGCAAAAGCUCCCUCUUAAUCAAUGCAAGGUUUAAAGACUAGUUUCAAAAAGAUUUAAAAGCUCCCCCUGCAUAAGUGCAUAUGAAUAUUUUUCAUAACAAAUGAAUAUUUCCCCCUUACAUUUUACAUAUCUCCCCCUUCAUCAUAAAAAAGAAUAAAAGCUCCCCCUAUCAAUCAUCAAAGUCUCAAUACAAGCACAUUAAGUCAAAAAUAUCCAUAAGCAUAAGGAAAUCCAUAUAAUCCAUAACAAACAAUCAAAACAAAUCCAUAUCAUCCAAAACAAAUACAUAAUCCAAAAGCAUAAUAACCAUCCAUAUAGUCAAAAAUAAAAGGACAUAAAACAGUAAAUGAUAUGUAGGUGUGUCCAAAUACAAGCAUAAAAGACUAUUGAGGUAGUGAGGAUGGUGGUGAAGGAGAAGGAUACGGAUAUGGAAUGCCAAAGUGCUCAAAAAGAAGGCGUUGUCCAUGAAUGAGCUACUGUUGCUGAAACUCAGUCUGUCGCACAGAGAGUGUCCACACUUCAUCCAUAAGCUGCUGAAGAGUAACAUCUUCAGAGGUAGGAGGUUGUGGAGGUGAUGAAGAGAUGCAGAGGCACCAGGAGCUGAAGCAAUCACGGGAGGAUCUCGGCGCCUACUCUGCCCCCGAAAUGAGAGUGAGAAAACGAGUAGCUGAUCGGCUAGAACUUAUUUCACCCAAUUGCCAUUACGCCACUCAAAACCUAAAGAACUAACAACCUCAUCCCCAAUGCUCUUAGAUGGCCUACAUGAUGGUUCUUGGAUAGGGACGCUAAAGUAUUUGAGGAUUCGGGUGAUGAAAUGACCAUACGGAAGGGAGCGAGUAAUCAACUUAGGUAUACUGAGCAUGUUUCGGACAAUGGUAUAUCCUAAGUCGACUGGACGAUGUCUAAGAAUACAAUCAAUCAAGGCAACAUCCAUAUGAGAAACCUCAUCCAAAUGGCCUGAUCUAGAAAGCACAAUACUCUGAAUAAAAUGAAGUAAUAUCCGAGUUUGAAGACAAAGACAUUUGGUGCGAAAAUGGAUAGUACAAUCUUCAUCUGAAAGGUCAAUACAACGACAUAUAUUCUUAACAGCAUCAAUAUGAACAUAGUCAUCAAUAUCAGGAGGUUUCCUAGGUGAAACAAUUUCUAAGCCAUCAUCGAAAGUUUCUAGGAUAGAGUUCAACUCUAAAUCAUCAAACUCAAUCGAAACUCCUCCAACUGUGGUGAUUACUCGAUUCUCUUUCUCUGCAGAACAAUCCAUAUUCGAGAAAAACACUUUCACCAAGUCGGGAUAUACAUUUUCCUCAAAAACAAGUGCAUUAAGCCAACUAAUAUCUUCUAACAAUUGCAAUAAAGUUCUAUUUCUAACACUAAGAUUAUUUAACCAAUCCGGUAAAAUAAAAAAGGUUUGGAGUACCUCACGAGUCAUGAACUGUUGGUAAAAUCGUUUGGCUAGAUGUUUGUGGUUCUGAAAGUGUGUGGACUCAAAGUUGGAUUGAUUGGAGGUGCCCCCUGCUUGCCGUGACCGGUUGGUUUACUGAACCAAUUCUUUGCCUUUUCUUCGAACCGGCCGUGAGCUUGACAUGGUGAGUUUGUUUGAUUUGAAGUGAAAUAAAGCACUGAGAAUGUAGAUAAUAAGAAUUGAAAGAGAUUUUGAGAAGCAAUUUGGAUCAAAACCGGCUUAAGAGGAAGAAAUCUAGAGAGAGAAGAUUCAACUUUAAACCCUAGAUUCGAUUUCGGAUCUAUUGAUUUUGAGGUUAAAAAAGGGUUUGAAUGAUGAUUUUUGAUACAAGAACGGAUGGGAUGCAAGUUUCAUGGAUCGAUUUGCAUCAAAAACAAGUGAAAAUGAUAGAUUUUGGAGAGAAAACGAGAGAGAAAUAAUCAGUUUUAGAGAGAGAAAGCUAACCGGUUUACCAAAAGAGGGGAGAGGAAGAUGAACAGGUUAACUGGUUGCGGGCAGUGAGUUUGCAACUCAAAUUCGAAUUUCCAGAUUGAGUAACUGGUUAUCCGGUUCUGUCUAGCAAAGGUUAUUUCGAAUCCGAUUUUUCGGAUAUCACGAACCGGCUUGCCGGUUAGAUCCAAAAGAUAGCAAGUUAAACUCGGCUUACCAGUUUGCCUAAUCGAUUGGCCGAAUGAAUCCAGAAUGUUGCCAAAGUGGAGCUCGAAUCUGGAUUUUCAGAUUUACAUAACCGGUUAUCCAGUUAAAUCUAGUGAAGGCCAUACGCGAAUUCGGUUAGUCGGAUUUAAUAACCGGUUUAUCCGGAUUGUUCAAGUAAGUACCAAACAUAAUCCAGUUUUCUGAAUUUUAUAAUCGGCUGACCGGUUCUUUCCAGAAAAAGAGAUAACAAAAGCGAUUUACCGGUUUUCCAAUCCGGUUAUCUAGAAUAUGACUCAGAAUGUGGGCAAUCUCUUAGACUUGUAUUAUACACACUAUUUUAUUUUUGGCUUUUAAAAUUGAUUAAUUGUAAAUCAUUUUGAGAUUUAAAACUUUUCAAUAAGCCAUUUAAUGCAUGAAACAUAAAUUCAUAAAAUAACAAGCAUAUCAAGCUAUCUAAUUCAUGAAGCAUAAACCCAUAUAAUAACAAACAUAUCAAGCCAUGUAGUAAAACAUAAGUCUAGAUGCAACACUCAUCAUUCCAAGCUCAUGUCUUAUCUUUAUAAAAUGUUAUUCGCUAAGAGGUUUUGUAGAGAUAUCCGCAAGCUGAUUUUCAGUAGAAACAAAUUUAAUUACAACAUCUCCUUUUUUAACAUGAUCUCUAAGGAAAUGAUGUCUAAUUUCUAUAUGCUUAGUCCUAGAAUGUUGAAUGGGUAUUUAAUAGAACUAGUAUUGUCACACAAGAUGGGUAUUUGAUCAAGAUUAAUACCAUAGUCUCUAAGAGUUUGUUUCAUCCAAAGAAUUUGUGCACAAAAACUACCUGCGGCAAUAUAUUCUGCCUCGGUGGUUGAAAGCGCAACUGAGUUUUGUUCUUACUAAACCAAGAGACAAGUGAAUGGCCCAGGAAGUGACAUGUUCCACUAGUACUUUUUCUAUCAACUUUAUAUCCGACAAAAUCAGCGUCCGAAUAACAAGUUAAGUCAAUAUGAGUUCCCUUAGGAUACCAAAGGCCAAGAUUAAUGGUGCCAAUCAAAUAUCAAAAAAUUCGUUUGACAACAAGCAUGUGUGACUCUUUAGGACAAAAUUAAAAUCUAGCACACAAGCAAAUACUAAACAUAAUAUCAGGUCUACUAGCAGUCAAAUAGAGUAAGGAUCCGAUCAUACCUCGAUAAGUCUUGAUGUCAACUUUCUUACCUUUCUCAUCUUUGUCCAGCUUGAUGGUAGUACUCAUUGGAGUGUUUUUUACCGUUCCAUUAUCAUAUCCAAAUCUUUUGAGUAGAUCUUUUACGUACUUGGCUUGGUUUAUGAAAAUUCCUUUCUCGUUUUGUUUGAUUUGGAGUCCAAGAAAGUACUUCAACUCUCCCAUCAUACUCAUCUCGAAUUCUUUGCUCAUACAAGAUGAAAAUUCUUUACACAACAAUUCAUUAGUAGAACCAAAGAUAAUGUCAUCAACAUAGAUUUGAACAAUAAGUAUAUCUUGGUUUUUAUACUUAACAAAGAGGGUGGUGUCCGCUUUUCCCAUCGAAAAAUUGUUAUCUAACAAGAAGUUUUUAAGCCUAUCAUACCAUGCUCUAGGUGCUUGUUUUAGUCCAUACAAAGCCUUAGAUAACUUAUACACAUGAUCUGAAAAUUUUUCAUUUUCAAAACCAUGGGGGUGUUUCACAUAAACUUCCUCCAUAAUAUAACCAUUUAAGAAAGCACUCUUGACAUCCAUUUGAUAUAAAAUAAAAUCUUUAUGACAUGCAAAAGCUAAGAGCAUUCUAAUGGAUUCUAGUCUAGCUACAGGUGCAAAUGUUUCAUCAAAAUCAAUUCCCUCUUCUUGGUUGUAGUCUUGAGCCACUAAUCUAGCUUUAUUUCUUACAACCAUACCGGAUUCAUCCAUUUUGUUUCUAAAUACCCAUUUAGUGCCUAUAAUGGAUUGAUGUUCCGGAUUAGGAACUAAUUCCCAUACAUUGUUUCUUUCAAAUUGAUUCAACUCCUCUUACAUAGCCAUAAUCCAAGAUUCAUCAUUUUCUGCAUCCGUAAAGGAUUUUGGUUCAAUUUGAGAGAUAAAUGCAGCAUGCUCACAUGUGUUCUUAAGAGAUGAUAUAGUUGUAACACCUCAUGAGGGAUCUCCUAAAAUUACAUCCUUAGAGUGAGAAGAAACAUACCUCCACUCCUUGGGGAGUGUUUGAGAAGUACAUUCAUUUUGCUCUGCAUUUGCUUCUUCAUGAUGUUCCUCUUGAAUUUCAUGAGGUGCAUCUUUUUUGUUGUCAUUUGAUGCUUCUUGUUGUUGUUCUUCUUCUGCAUUAUCAUCAACAACGACUUUCUCCGUAGAUGAGGGGUUAGACUCAUCAAAUGUAACAUGUAUAGAUUCUUCUACAACCAAAGUUCUUUUAUUAUAAACUCUAUAAGCUUUGCUUGAGUUUGAAUAACCAAGAAAAAUACCAACAUAAGAUUUUGGAUCAAAUUUUCCAAGAUUAUCUUUUGUGUUCAAAACAAAACAUUUGCAUCCAAAGACUUUAAAAUAACCUAUGUUAGGUUUUCUAUUUUUCCAAAGCUCAUGUGGAGUUUUAUUAAGAUUAGGUCGAAUCAACACACGAUUCAAAACAUAACAAGCGGUGUUGACGGCUUCGGCCCAAAAAUACUUAGGCAAAGAAUUUUCAUUCAACAUGGUCCUAGCCAUUUCUUGAAUAGACCUAUUCUUUCUCUCUAUGACUCUAUUUUGUUGAGGAGUCCUAGGAGAUGAAAAUUUAUACUCAAUGCCAAAAUUAUUACAAAAGUUCUCAAAUGCAUAAUUUUCAAAUUCUCCACCAUGAUCACUUCUAAUACAAUAAAUACUACAUUCCUUUUCAUUUUGAACCUUUUUGCAGAAAACUUUAAAUGCAUCAAAGGCAUCAUCCUUAUUAGCUAAAAAUAAUACCCAUAUGUAUCUAGAAUAAUCAUCCACAAUUACAAAAGCAUAAUAUUUUCCAUUUAAACUAGCAUAUCUAGAAGGACCAAAUAAAUCUAUAUGAAGAAGUUGAAGUGGUUUUGAAGAAGAGAUAUGAUUUUUGUUUUUGAAAGAGGUUUUGAUUUGUUUUCCAAAUUGGCAAGCUACACAAAUUUUAUCUUUUUUAAAACUGAUUUUUGGAAGACCUUUAACCAAAUCAUUUUUCGAGAUUUUUGAGAUCAAAUCCAUACUUGCAUGACCUAAUCUUCUAUGCCAUAACCAGCCAUCAUCAUGCAUUGCAGAGAAACAUUUAUCAUUUGUAGAUGCACGAUCUAUAUUAAUGGUAUAGACAUUAACACAUCUAUUUCCUACAAACAAAACCUUGCCAUCACAUGCAUUUUCAAUAAUACAUUUUGAUUCAUCAAAGAUAACUCUAUAUCUUUUAUCACAUAAUUGACUAAUGCUCAGCAAGUUGUGUUUUAAGUUUUCAACCAAACACAUAUUUUCAAUGAGAGUAAAGGAUACAUUACCGACAUUGCCACUGCCAAUGAUUUUUCCUUUUCAAUUAUCUCCAAACGAUACAUCUCCACCAUUUUCGAUCUUGGUAAAACUUGAAAACCAAGAAUAAUUCCCUGUCAUUUGUCUUGAACAACCACUAUCCAAGUACCACUUAUUCUUCUUCUUCUUCAAGCCCUGUAGAGAAAAUCUCAAAUUUUAGGUACCCAAACCUUUUUGGGUCCUUGAGAGUUAGCAAUGGUUCCUUUCGGAACCCAAACACAUUUCACACCAUAAUAUGCAUUUAUCUUCACUGGACAUCUAUUUUUUAUAUGACCAUCUUGAUUACAAUAAUGACAUACAAUUUGAUUGUUAAUAGAUGUAUUCUUCACAAAAUAACUCUUGUAAUAUUUUUGUUUUAAAUUUGGCUUAUAACCAAUGCCUCCUUUGUCAAAUACACAUUUUUGUGAGUUUAGCAAGUUAUCCAACAUCUUUUGUCCAUUUGUGAAUUUUAGCACAAUCUCAUUUAGUUCAUUGCUCUUCUUUCUAAGCAUUUCAUUUUCAUUUUUCAAGUCAUUCACGUGUGACUUUAAGUGCUCAUGUGCAGUGCUAGAAUUCUUAAAUAAUGCAACUCUAUCAUGCAAUGUUUUAUUCUCUAAUUCUAGGCAUGUAAUCUUUUUCACUAAAUGAUUCAUUUUCAUUUUUAAGCUCUAUCAUAUUCUUUUUAAGACAUAUAUUCUUUUUACCAAUCUUCAUCAAUUCAUCAUGCAAAUCCUUAAAGGCAUCAUGUAAUUCAUCAUAUGUAGGAAGAACACUUACCUUAUCAAGUUCAUCACAUGAUUCUUCCCCAAAGGCCAUGAGAGUUAAAUUUGUCAUUUCUUGUUGCUCUUCAUCAUCACUUGUUUCGUCAUCGCUAUCAUCCCACGUGGCCACCAUAGCUUUCUUCUUGAGUUUGUUGAGGAGAGAACAUUCCGGUCGUAUGUGUCCGGGCUUCUUGCAUUCAUAGCAACUGAUUGGCUCUUUCUUCUCCUUUUUAUUCUUGUAGCCUUUGAACUUUCUCUGCUCAUUAUUCUUCUUGUAAAAUUUUCUGAAUCUUCUACCCAACAUUGCCAACUCCUCAUCAUCCAUCUUGCCCUCCUCAUCAUUCUCACGUUUUGAGGCAUUGAGAGCAAUGUUUUUCUUCUUUUCCCCAUGCCCUUUUUCUCUGCCAAAUCUUCGAACUAAUUAAAUCAUCAAUAGGUAAUGUAUUUAAAUCUUUGGCUUCCUUAAUGGAAAUCCUUGUUGGUCUCCAUUCCUUAGGUAGCGACCUAAUGAUUUUCUUAACUUUCUCACUAUUUGAAAAGCUCUUUCCUAAGGCCCCUAGAGUGUUCACUAUGUCCAUAAAUCGUGUAUACAUAGAAUACACACUCUCAUUUUGGUCCAUUUGAAACAAUUCAUAUUGUCGAGUGUACCUACUUAUUUUAGACUCUUUUACUUGAUUCGUGCCUUCAUAAACAACUUUAAGUUUGUGCCAAAUUUCAUUAGCACUUUCGCAACUAGACACUCUAUGAAACUCUUUCUUUUCUAGUGCACAAAACAAGGCAUUCAUAGCUUUGGAAUUUAGAGAAGCUUUUCUCUUUUCCAAUUCAUUCAAUUCCCAUGAAGGUUUUGGAAUAUCUUCCCCUACUUCAUUUUUAGAAAAAGGUAUGAAAGGACCAUCAUUAACAAUUGCUCAAAUUUCGUAAUCUAAGGCUUGCAGUAAAUUCUCAUCCUAGUUUUCCAAUACGGGUAAUCAUUUCCAUCAAAGUAAGGUGGUCUAGUGGUGGACUGUCCUUCCCUAAAUCUGGAAUCAUUUUGAGUUGCCAUUGAUCUUUAGCUCUAGAUGGUUAAGUCUAAAUAAGAGCACCUCUCUCUGAUACCAAAUAAAAUACAAAUGUACAACCCAAGAGGGGGGUGAAUUGGUACUUUAAAAAAUUAUCCUAUCAAAGCCAAACAACAAUCCAAUCUAAUGCCUUAAUAAAUUCAAAAGCUAUAAGUUCAAUAAACGUACAAUAACAAAUGAGUAAGAGAGAAGAGAAACAAACACACGAAUUUUUAGGUGGUUCGGCAACCCCCGCCUACGUACACGCCUCUAAGCGAUCCAAGCUUGAGGAUUUCCAUAUCCAAGCCUUCCUAGGCUUCAAAUGUUUACAAUUGACUUCAAAGUGUCAAUAAACCUUUACACCAAAGAGAUUAUCUCCCAAUCUCUUCACUCAAGUGUCUCACACACUCAAACACUCACAAUUAAGAUGAAGAAAUGAAAGUUACAAUAAAAAAACUCUCUUGAAGAGUAGAUGUACAAAUUGAAGAACAACAAUGAUUCAAUGAAUAACGACUUGCGAAUUGAGAGCUCAAGAUAUGUUGUUGCUUUUUGUUUUUGCUUGUUGAAGAGCUAUAAAAUGAAUUGGAUUUGAGUUUUUAUAGUUUGAGAUCAAAAACUAGUCGUUAUGCACAUUUUGAUCAUAACCAGCUUACUGUUUAUGGACAUCCGGUUAGCCACUUAAUGUUACCGUUACAGCCACAAUUUUGAAUUUCUGAACAUCUGGUAUGCCGCUUGUGAAAUCCGGUUAGCCGUUUAAGUUCCAGAAACAUUCUGCCCAAAUCCGGUCUAGCGUUUGUCAGGAUUCGGAUAGCCGCUUGCUACAGUAACUGCUACAGUGAACUAUGUUUCAGAAUUAUGGUUUGACCACAAAACUUUAUAAAAUUAUGUUAUGAUCCAAAACGUUAUAAAAAUUUUCAAAUAGGUCCAAUUUCAGAAUUUCUAAAUAUUACUUUAUUAAUCCUAAAACUUUCUGAAAUUAAGACAUGACCCAAAAUAUGUGAAAUUAUAGAAUGACCCAAAACAUUUAAAUAUUUUCAAAUAGGUCCAAAUCGGAAAUUCAAAACAAUAAUUUAUUAAAAUUAAAGAUUAUGAAAAACAACUUAACUCCAUAAAAAUAUUUUUUUAUUGUAAAAGCUGUUGUGCAAAUUUUAAUGUACUCGCAAGCACACGAAUCUAUUGUAGUAUAGACUAAUGGUAACGAGUGUCGAUCCCACGAGGAGGUGGAUUUUAGUUAUAUAUAGAAUUAAUUUUGUAAAUGGGUAGUUGGAUUUCUGGUGGAAAUGAUUUGGAAUAUGUUAAACUUAAAUUAAAAUGGCGAGAAUAAAUUCUAAAAUUGGUAUUGAAAUGGCGAGAAUAAAUUGAAGAGAAUUAUAUUGAAAUGACGUACUUGGGUAUCUGGAUCUGUAUCAACAUGCAUCAUGGGCUAAAUAUUCUUUAUUAAUGCCAAUUAAAUCAUGAGGGGGGAAUUCACACCUCAUGAACCACGCUCUAAUCAAUAUGGUGCUAAGGGCUUAUCGUGCCAAAUAAUAAUAACCUUGUACUAGAGGGUCGGUGAAACCAAGACGGUACUAGACAAGAUUAGUAUUAUUUGUCGACGAGAAGUCAAAACAUCCACAAAAACUAGAGGGAAAGAGAAAAUAAUUUUACCAAAUUAAGCCCAUGACACAUGUUAAGACUUCACCUUCAACCCAAGCUUGAAAGAAAAUUAGCCACUCAUAAUUGAACUAGGGGCAAAAUGGGAAUUUAUUAAAAUACAAAGAAAAUACAAGAUGGAGAAGGAAUUACAGAAAACAGAGUCCAAAAAUAGAUUCAGAGAUCUCAAAUUAGGGGGGAGAGGCCCCCUUUUUAUAGAUACAUGUAGUAAAUCAUGGCCAUCGGAUUAAAAACAAUUUGGACGCUCAGGAUUGCGCCACGUCAUCAGUCAACAGUCCACGGUUUGACCACGCGGAUGAACAGUAACACGGUUUGACCCAACUUUGAACAGUAACGCGGUUUGGUUGAAAAUAAUCCUGUGUGAUGCAUGCACCGUACGCGAGAUUUUUCGUCCACUGAUAUGCUGCCACGUCACCAUCAACAGUACAUAAGAAUUUUAGUCCAACAGGAUCGUGACACCUCAUCAGUCAAUGCCACAUCAUCGAUCAAUGCCACGUCAUCAUCCGUCUAUGUGAACAGUGUCGUGAACAGUAACGUAUACAGUACCGUACACGUGAAUAGUACCGUACAUGUGAAUAGUACCGUACAUGUGAAUAGUGCCAUUUUUCCUUUUAUGCUCCUCCUAAGGUUUUUGACCGUCCUGAGUUCAAAAGUGAUGUCCGUUUUGCCAUCUGAUUUCUCCUUUAUUGUGAAAUGACUGUAAUACCCCUAAAAUACAUAAAAUACUUAAUUAAAAUAAAACACAUGUAAUUAAAUCACAAGAAGGUUAAAUACAUAAAAGUAUGGGUUGUUAGUAAGACUUGAAAUGUAAAAUGACGGUUUUCUCCUUUAUAAAUAUGCAUUUUCUAACACUCAACAAAAGCACAAUACAUAAAUCUUUGUUUAAUCAACACAUGUGGUUUGUUAUCAUCAAAAUCAAUAUCUAUAGCCAUAUAAGCUAACAGAGUCUACGAUACAAGAUUGUUUCACACUCCUCAAACUAAUAGCUCCACUUCUAGCCGGAAGUUGAUUUUCUGGAAUCCUUAUAUGAUAUAAAGUUAGAAUCAAUAUAACCCACUAGAAUGAGUUCAUCACCAGAAUACACAAGCAUAUAAUUUUUAGUUCUUUUCAUGUACUUCAUUAUAUGCUUGACUGCAGUCCAAUGUUCAGGUCCAGAAUUAGAUUGAUAUCUGCUAACCAUCCCUACCGCAAAACAGAUGUCUAGCCUAGUGCAAAGCAUGGCAUACAUGAGACUUCCCACAGCUUUUGCAUAGAGAACUCGUCACAUUUUCUCUAUCUCUUCAGAUGUUUUAGGUGAUUGAUCCUUAAAGAAUGCAAUUCCAUGUUUGAAUGGUAACAAACCAGUCUUGUAAUUUUCCAUGCUAAACUAGCCAAUAUCUUGUCGAUAUAGUCUGCUUGAGACAAGGCUAAAGUUUUAUUCUUCCGGUCUCGUAAUAAUUUGAUACCAAGAAUAUAACUUGCCUCUCCCAGCUCUUUCAUAUCAAAUUAUUUUGCUAACCAACUAUUUAUUGUAGUCAAUACUCUUAUAUCGUUUCUAAUUAGGAGAAUAUCAUCCAUAUAAAUAAUUAGGAAGGCUACAUAUUUUUCCUGAAUUUUCUUGUACAUACAUGGUCUAUCAAUAUUUUGAAUGAAUCCAAACAAAUUAAUCGCUUGAUCAAAUCUAAUGUUCCAUCACCGGGAUGCUUGCAUACCAUGUGUUCUUGGCCUUUUUGUAUGAAUCCAUCUGGUUGCUGCGUGUAGCUGUCUUAUUCAAGAUGCCCAUUAAGAAAGGCAGUCUUGACAUUCAUUUGCCAAAUUUCAUAAUCUAGCACUGCAGCAAUGGAGAGCAGAAUCCUAAUAGAUUUAAGUAUAUCAACUGGAGAAAAAGUUUCCUCAUAAUCGAUUCUCUCUUUCUGAGUAUACCCUUUGGCUACUAAUCUUUCUUUAAUUUUUUCCACCAUUCCGUCUACUCCUCUUUUUCUCUUGUAGAUCCACUUACACCCUGUAAGUUUUACCCCAUUUGGUGCCUCUACAAGUUCCCAGACUUAAUUGAAAUACAUAGAUUCCAUUUCUUGAUUCAUGGCAUUUUUUCAAAGUUCAACAUCUCUGUCUAUUAGAGCUUCGUUAUAGCUAGUAGGAACUUGUACAUGUUCAUCUGAGAUAGCCAUAUAAGUUUCUCCCAAUAACAUGUAUCUCGCAGGUAACCUAAUUACCCUCCCACUACGACGAGGUUCUAAAAGUGAUUGUUGUUCAAGGAUAGUCUUGUGUUGAUCAGCCAGUUAUUGCUGUUCUUCUUGUUCUAUAACAGGUGUUGAAAUCUAAGCAUCAACCUGAUCUCUACUGAUUUCUUUAUUUUUACAUUACUCUUAGGUUAUAAGUCAUUUAUAUAGUCUUCUUCAAAGAAAGUAAAGUAUAUGUCUAAAAAUGCAUUCCUAUCUUAAGGACUAUAAUUUAAAUUUUCCUUUAUUCAUUUAGGAUACCUAACACAUGCAAGCUUCUGAACACAAAUCCAUCUUCUUUGCCUCUAAUUCUAGUACAAAUACUAGUAAACUCCAAAUACGAAUGUGUCUCAAACUAUGUUUGUGACUUUUUCAUAAUUUCUUAGAGUAGUAGACACUGAGGUAGAUGAAAUUAAGUUCAAUAAACUUUGCAAUUUUAAAUACUAGUAUCUGGAAUAAAAAAAGUAAAUGAUAAACCACUUAGCAUAUAUCUUGUCUUAUCUAAAAGAAUCUUGUUUCUCCAUUUAAUUACACUAUUCUAUCAUAGUGUUCAUUAUAUGUGGGAGUUUAUCCCACUUGACAACCAAAUGAAGCUUGAAUUCUCCAAAGAGAUAUUCUUUGUUUCGAUCAGAUCGAAUUCUUUUAUGUUCCUGUCUAAUUGCUUCCCUGCCUUAUCCACGUAUCCUUUUUAAUUUCAAAAGUGAUGGAAUCAUGACGCAUUUAGACAAAUAUAAAUGAAAUGAAUAUUCAUCAAUAAGAUUCAUAAAAUACUCAUAACCUCUAAUAACAUGCAAACUGAUUAGUCCGUAUACAUUUGUAUGUGCUAAGUCAUCCAAUACAAUGUUAUGCUUUUGGCUAAAAAAAGCAUCCUCGUCAUAUUACUUUUCUAAAUAAGAUUUAUAGAGUGACAAUGAUCAAUCUUGAUAGGCCAACAAGCAUAUCAUUAAUCAUUUUCUUAAAAUCUUAUUAUAGUUUAUAUGACUUAAGCAUAAAUAUCAGAGGUGAGAUUGGUUAGAAGAAACAUUUCUUUUCUUAGAUAAAUGCAUAUACUUUUUAUCAUUAUAUCUUCCUUUGAAUAGAUCAAUGGACUUAUAUGACAUAAAUUGUCUUUAUAAAGAACCAAAAUAAGUAAUAAACAAAGGAUCCAAAAAUAAAAGUAUACUCCUGUUUAUAAAAACAAGCCACCGAAAUUAAAUUCCUCUAAUAUAUGGAAUAAUAAAGACAAAUAUCAAAACUAAAGUUUUGUAAAAUUGAUCUAGCAUUUCAACUGAUAUAAACUAGCAUGUCCUCAACUGUUGUUUGAAGCUUUCUUCACUUAAUCUCUUUGUUUCCUAAAAACCAAAUAAAUAAAUUACAAAUAAGAUUAGUUAUCUCAAAAUUCACUAUUGCAUGAAUCAUUAGAAAUAUGAACUAAUUAGGAAGCUUAAAGAUUUCUUAUACCUAAUUUUAAUAAUUUUAGGACAAUCUUUCUUCCAGUGACCCUUCUUUCCACAUUUGUAACACUUACCUUUUGGCUUGCCAUCUUUUUUAAUGGACAAUUUUCUCAUCUCAACUCUCUCUUGCUUAUUCUUGUCUUUCGACUUAGGCCUUGAGGAGAAUCCUUUUUCAGGAAGUUUCCUACUAUGAUAAAAUUCUUCUAUAGCAUGUAGUUUGUGCAAUAAUUCAAUUAAGGUUAUAUCUUUAUUGUUUAAGAUAUAACUUACCUUAAACUCUUUAAAUGUAUCGGGCAAAGAUUCAAUCACCAUAUUAAUCUUUGUUUUAUCAUCGAUUUGAACACCAUAAAUCUUUACUUCAUUCAAAUAGUCCAUUAUUUUUAGGACAUGAUCACGAACUCUUGUGCCCUCUUCCAUCUUAGUAUCCGUAAUAUGUUUUAACGCUGCUUCUCUGGCAAAAUGAGUAUUCUGCCCAAACAUCUUAUGAAGACUAGCCAUUAUUUCAGUGACUGUUUCCAUGCUCCGAUGUUUCUUAUGCAGUUCCACAAAAAUCAAAGCCAAUAUAUAAUGUUUAGCCAUUUUGUUAGCUUUGCACCAUUUCUUAUAAGGCUUCCUCUGAUUUCUAUAAUUGUAUAGCGUUGGUUCUAGAGGGGAUGGCUGGGUCAACACAUAUUUGUAGCCCUUAACAGUGAGAAUAUUAAAUAGAUUGUGUUUUCAAUCUAAGUAAUUUUUGCGAGUGAAUUCAUUUUUAAUAAAGAUAAUUGAUAAUGGGUUGAUAGAAGACAUUUUCUGAAAAAACAAAAUAGACAUGCAUAAACACUUUGAAAUAAAUAAUGUUCACAAUAAAUAAUCUAAAAUGCAAAAAACCAAAAAUGCUUUUUAUUUUAUUGUAAUGAUAAUCUAGUACUGUUUUGGCAAGCUAUCCGUUAGGGAAGUCAAAUCUACACUUACUAGACCCAAUUAUCCAUUGGAUUAUUUACUUUCAUGUAGAGACAUAAUAAAUAAUUAUCGUUAUCAUUUUGGGCCUAAAUUUGUUAACAAAGCUUCAUUGGGAAGGUUAAUAACAAAUUUUAGUUGAGUGUAUAAUCAUUGUUUCAAUCUACAUAUCUUCCAUAUAAUGCCGCUACCGUUAGGGUGAUCAACAGAUUGAAAAAUAUUUCAAUCUUAUUUGUAAAGAAGAUCAUCAACUAAAAUAUCUAAUAUAUAUACCAUAAGUAGGGAGCAUUACCGUAUCAUGAAGUUGAGGUAUAUAUAUAAUUUUAUUAAUGAACUAACAAUGGAGCCCGUGGAAAGAAUUAUCUUGAAUUUUUCCUCUCCCACUCAAUAUUUUAAAGUUUCUUUUUCCAAUAUACGGAUUAUAUCAUAUAUUGUUAACUGCAUGCUUCCUACAAUAAUAUUGUCUAGAUAAAAUCUAAUUUUAUUAAGCACAUGCAAAUGUCAAACAAUAUAUGUCUAGAUUCAUAAUCUAUAGAUGUCAUGUAUUAUGAUGCAUAAAGUGGCACCUCCUAUUCUAUAUGAGAUGUUAUCAUGGCAUGUUAUCAACCAAAUAUAGCAUAUAGAUUAAAAGCAAUUAAACAAUCUCAAUUCAUGGUUUUCCUAAGGAAAAAAUUGACUUUAUCUACAAGCCUAAUAUCUAUUGGGCUUUAAGUCAACAUCCAUCUUCCUUCUUUCUCUUCGUUGUACUUGCUCUUGUCCAUAACUAUUGCCUUGAGGACUUUUGGGCUUUUAAAAUUUAUCUUUGGUUCAAUUUCUAAAUUUAAAUUUGGGCAACUUUAAAAAAAAAAUCUAUUGGCUCUUUUUUUAAAAAAAAUACCUCUUUUUUUAAAAAAUUCAAACCCGAUUAGUUUAAUAAAAUAAACCCAAAUUUAUCAUUAAAAAUUCUUGAGCCAAAUAAAUUUUAUUUAUGAUCUACCAAAUUUUCAUUUAUAUAACCUAAUUUUGAAAUCCCUUAAAUGGGCUUGGGACCAAUAUAAAUAAAUCUGGACAAAUAAUAACAAUUGGGCUUAUCAAAUUUCUAUUUAUAUUAUCUAGUUGAAAGCUAAUAAUGGGCUUGGACCCUAUAUAAAUAAAUUUGAAUUUUUCUGCCCAAAACCCUAAAUCACUUAUUUUUCUUCUAGUCGCCACCAGCACAUACUGUUGGACUUAAAUGCAAAAUAAUUUCAAGCCUUGGCAGAAAACAUAAAUUAGUGAGACAAUGGGGUGUCUAAUGAAAAAAUUCAAAAGAAACCCUCCUUCCCUUCAUGCUUUUCGCUGCCAAUUCCACAGGUGCUGCCGUUUCUUCUUCUCUUUGCCGCCAUCAACUUUUCUUUGUUUCUUGGAUUCUUUACAUAAUUUUAUAAUAAAAAAUAAUAUUUAUAAGAAAUCAUAUACCAUUUGGCUUACAAAGAAUCUAAGAACAAUGAAUUAAAAUAAUUAAGAGUGAAACAUGGUGAAAAUUGACGACCUCUCAUUGUUACAAAUCUAUAAAAUUAAUACAAAGAAAUAUCUAAUCAUGAAUUGAGACAACCUUUAAUAUACUCAAUAAUUAUAUACAUUCACAAAUGAAAUAAUAUAUAAAAAUUUAGUGCCACCCAUUUUAUACACAUAAUACAAGAGAUUAAUAUGCUCAAUAAUUAUAUACAUUCACAAAUGAAAUAAUAUAUAAAAAUUUAGUGCCACCCAUUUUAUACACAUAAUACAAGAGAUUAAUUUCAUACAGUAACUCCAUAUAUUAAUAUGAGAUUGCUCUGAUACCAAUUGUUGCUUCGAAAAAUAUUUUACAAUGGAAAUAUUUGAAUCGCAAUUCUCAUACAAUAAAUAAAAUUACCAUAAUUUAGAAAUUGUACCUUUGCUUCUUCGCUGAAGUAAUCACUACAAAAAAUAUGAUUUAUUAUAGCACUAAUUUAUAGGUUUUAUAUCAAAUGCCAUCACAACCACACAUUUUCUAGCAUUUUUCAUAAAACUGCUAUUAAACUGAAAUUUUAUUAUAUGUAUAACAUUACUAUUAUGACAUAUUUUUUAAAAGUUUUAAAAAUGUUAGUUAGCAUAGCAUUUUGUAAAAAAAGUUAUAAAAUAAAUUGUUACUUAAUAGUUUUUAUGACAUUUUUUUGUAAAAUUUAUUGGAAAAAAACAAAUUAUAACAUUUUUAAAAUGCUAUAAAAAUAAAAAAAAUAAUUAAAAAAUAUUUUUUUAGGCACCAAAUUUCAUUAGAUUGGCGCCCAUAUUAUAACAUUAUAUUAUGACAUUUUUAAAAAAAAGGCUAAAUAAAUAUAUACUUAGGGUAGCGUAAUUGUAAAGAAGUUAUAAAAUAAAUAUUGAAAAGUUACUUUAUAACGUUUUAUUAAGUGCUAUAGAAUUUAUUAUAAAACAAAUCUCUAAAAUGGCGCUAAAUUUUUCAUAUUGGCGCCCAUUCUUCCCACCCCAAGAAAAAGCCCAAAAGCUUUCUAUUAUUUUUUUCCCAAAUCCCUUUCAUCUUGUUCUCUCUACAACACUAAACUUUCCCUUUUCCCCUUUUUCUAACCGGUCAAAAGUAGCUGAAUUAAAGUUCAUUUUUUUAAAUCAAUCUUUCAAGUAUGUACAAAGCUUUAAGCUUGUUACGUGCUUUAAAAGGUGAAGGAAUAAUAAUUCUUUGAUAUGCAUGCGUUACAGUACAAAUAACAGCUUUUUCGGUGUUAGUUCGUAAAGGAAUACAAAUAUGGAAAGAAUUUAAAGUUGAUUUAGUUAUAUGGAAUUUUCUUUGAAAAGGAUAUUAAUUAAUUAAAAUUGAAUAGAUGAUUGGAUAAUUAUAUGUAUGGAUGCUCUAGCUUGUUGUUGUGCAAAUUUUAAUGUACUCGCAAGCGCACGAAUCUAUUGUAGUAUAGACUAAUGGUAACGAGUGUCAAUCCCACGAGGACGUGGAUUUUAAUUGUGUACAAUUAAUUUUGUAAAUGGGUGAUUGGAUUUGUGGUGGAAAUGAUUUGGAAUAUGCUAAAACUUAAAUUAAAAUGGCGAGAAUAAAUUCUAAAAUUGGAAUUGAAAUGGCGAGAAUAAAUUGAAGAGAAUUCUAUUAAAAUGACGUACUUGGGUAUCUGGAUCCGUAUCAACAUGCAUCAUGGACUAAAUAAUCCUUAUUAAUGUCAAUUAAAUCAUGAGGGGGGAAUCCACACCUCAUGAACCACGCUCUAAUCAAUAUGGUGCUAAGGGCUUAUCGUGCCAAAUAAUAAUAACCUUAUACCAGGGGGCCGGUGAAACCAAGGCGGUACUAGACAAGAAUAUUAUUAUUUGUCGACGAGAAGUCAAAACAUCCACAACAACUAGAGGGGAAGAGAAAAUAAAUUUACCAAAUUAAGCCCAUGACACAUAUUGAGACUUCACCUUCAACCCAAGCUCGAACGGAAAUUAGCUACUCAUAAUUGAACUAGGGGCAAAAUGGGAAUUUAUUAAAAUACGAAGAAAAUACAAGAUGGAGAGGGAAUUACAGAAAACAGAGUCCAAAAAUGGAUUCAGAGAUAUCAAAUUAGGGGGGGAGGCCCCCUUUUUAUAGAUACAUGGAGUAAAUCAUGACCAUCGGAUUAAAAACAGUUUGGACGCUCAGGAUUGCGCCACGUCAUCAGUCAACAGUCCACGGUUUGACCACGAAGAUGAACAGUAACGCGGUUUGACUCGGAUGAACAGUAAUGCGGUUUGACUCGGAGGAACAGUAACGCGGUUUGGUUGAAAAUAAUCCUGUGUGAUGCAUGUACCGUACGCGAGAUUUUUCAUCCACUGAUAUACUGCCACGUCACCAUCAACAGUACAUAAGAAUUUUAGCCCAACAGGAUCGUGACACCUCAUCAGUCAAUGCCACAUCAUCGGUCAAUGCCACGUCAUUGAUCCGUCUAUGUGAACAGUGUUGUGAACAGUAACGUAGAUAGUACCGUACACGUGAAUAGUACCGUACAUAUGAAUAGUGUCAUUUUUCCUUUUAUACUCCUCCUAAGGUUUUCGACCGUCCUGAGUUCAAAAGUGAUGUCCGUUUUGCCGUCUGAUCUCUCCUUUAUUGUGAAAUGACUAUAAUGCCCCUAAAAUACAUAAAAUACUUAAUUAAAAUAAAACAAAUGUAAUUAAAUCACAAGAAGGUUAAAUACAUAAAAGUAAGGGUUGUUAGUAAGACUUGAAAUGUAAAAUGACGGUUUUCUCCUUUAUAAAUAUGCAUUUUCUAACACUCAACACACCCCCCAACUAGCUUAUUGCUAGUCCCUAGCAAAUAAAGCGAAAACAAAAUUCAAAUUCAAAAUAUUUUUUUUAAUAGAAACACUCGUAUUUAUUCCGUCAGAUUAAUGAUAGCAAUAAAAUAAAAGUAUAAGCAUUAUCUCCGGUCUAAAGCAACAUCACACCCACAUCAACCAUCCACAUGAAUCAGCCCAGUAGACUUUGUCAUAGCUACUUUCAAGAAUGACAUGUCAAACCCCAAAAUCUCACUGAAAGUAGUGACACUCUCACAAAGAAAUUAAAACCAAUAAAAAUAGUCACUCCAAUGAAUGGUAAUUGAGAGAGAAAAUAAUAAAGAAGUGAUAUCACAUGCUCUCACCAAGAUGAAAUAAAUAUGCCCUCAGCUUAUAAAUAAUACGAACUCAAGUCAAACAAAAAUGCUAGUCAACCCACUUUAUUUAUCUUCUUUUUUUUUUAUUAUGCAUCACUACAUCUUUUUAGCCCAUAUAACUAGCUUCUACUUCAAACUAUAGUUCCCUAAAAUCAAGAAGGACUUUUAUUAGGAUGUAACGUAGGCUAGGGACAUGGUUAACAAAGAAGGGAAAUAAGGAAAACAAAGUGUAUGUUUGAGAAAAAUGCAGUGAUUUUUUUUUUUUGGAAGUUGCAAGGUGGAUUUCACCUAUUAUUUUUAUUUUUAUUCUUUUGAAACAACAACUUUUAUUUUUUUUUCUCUUUUUUUUUUGGCAUAACUUCACUGAACAAAAUAAUUAUUUACAUUUUUCUCAAACAUAAAUAGGUGAUGGAACUAUAAGAUAUCGGGUAAUACUUCAAAUCGGAGUGGGUCAAGAUGAUAAGUUGACAAAGAAAAGGUUUUUUUUUUUUUUUAAAGUCUCAAAAGUGUUAAAUAUGGAUAUUUAAUAAAAGGGAUGGCUAGAAAGGCUCAAACAGAUCAAAGAUGGCCUUUCCAUCGUCUUUUAGGGCUCUAAAUAAUCAUCCAUAUCUACUAGUUAGAUGGGCCUCCCAAUGUAGCAACACACAUUUUUUUCUUUUUUUUUUUAUUAUACAAUUUUUUUAAGGGUUAACUCAAAAGCAAUUUAGAGAUCGUGUGUAAAAUAAUAAACUGCUAAGCUGUAUAAAGAGUGGGCAAAAGGGUUAUUCUCCAAGAAAAAUAAUAGGCUCAAAAACUCACUUGGUACUUAUUAUGACAUGUUCAUUCCUUCAAGCAACGCAUAUUUGUCUCCGACAUCAACAUGUAGAGUAGCAAACAUAAUGUAACAUCACUUAAGACCAAAGAUAAUACAAAUACUAAAAUUUAAAAUUAAUCAUGUCAUCUAAUGUUAAAACAAAUCACAAAAUUUUUUUUUUUUAAACAACAUUCUACCCCCCAACCUAUUCUAAACAUGAAAGGAAAAUAUGCAUGCAGAAAUGUGAAAAUGAUGCAUAAAAACUAAUUAGAAAAGUUACACGUAAAAUGAUAGAAAACGAAAAUAUUUUUUUUUUUUAAAGAAGAUGCGUUUCUAGAGGAACUACACUCCAUAUUCAGCCAUCUUCGACUCACAAGUUGGAGAAUGUAUAUUUAUAGAGGAGAGAUUAAAAAGAAGAAAAAUAAACAUAAAAACAUAAUAAAGAAAAUGUCUGAAAUUUUUUUUAGUUUUUUAAUUUUUUUUUUUUACGAUGAAGAUGCGUUUCUAGAGUCACUACACUCUAUAUUCAGCCAUCUUCGACACAAAAAGUGAGCAACAGUUAGUUUCUACAACAAAAAUUAGUAAAAACUUAACCAAAACUCCACAAUUGUCGACUAUUCCCUCCCCCCAACCAGAACGAAACAUUGUCCUCAAUGUUUGAAAGGAAAGAAGUAGAGUUUAGAAAACAUCACCUGGGUGGUGCAACACAGAAAACAAUAUUUACAAGCGGAGAGUUAAAUCUAAUUUGUACUUCUUACUGCGGCUACUGUUACCAUCAUUAUUUGGGCGCUCCAACACAAAGGUCCAGGGGUCUGGCUCCGGUUUAUAAGCUUGUAACAUAUCAAGUAGCUCAUUAGCAGUGUGAGCACAAAUAAAAAGUUUUUUUACAUUAGAAGGAAUGAAAUAGUUUUUUAUUGCAUGGUUAAGAAAUGCGAUAAAGCCAUCAUAAAAGUUAUUGACAUUCAAUAAACCGAUGGGUUUUUGGUGGAUGUGCAAAUGGGCCCAAGAUGCUAGCGUGAUAAGUGCCUCUAGUGUUGCAAGAUCUCCUGGAAGAAAAAUAAAAGCAUCAGCAUGAUUAAGCAUUUCAGUUAUUCUUUCUUGCAUACCUGAGACGACUAACUCUUCUCCAGUUGAUGAGUCAGACAAACUGCCCAAUGGUUUUAAGACUCUUGGGAUGAUGCCUAACACUUGACUUCCUCUGAUAAAAGCUGCUUCUGAGAUCAUUUUUGAUAACCCUCGAUUACCUCCUCCAUACACCAAGUGUAAUUUUCUCGCUGCUAUGCUUCAACCAAGAUCUAUGGCUGCCUCAACGAACUCUUUAUGUUUGCCAUAUGUAAAUCCAGAAAGCACACAAAUGUUCUUGAAUUGUCUAUUGGGAGUAGCUGACAUUGUGAUACUUCUCAAAAACAAUUUGUGAGUGCUUGACAAAAAAGAAAUCACAUUUAAGAGUCUCGGUGAUAUUGGGUCAUGGUUGUGUAUGAGGUAAUAUGUCAGUGUCAAAUAAUGCGUAAAGCACGUUGCUCGCAAGUCAAAAAGAAAACAGUAAAAAGGAAAAAGUAAACAGUAAUAAAAUUAUUAAAGACAAUAAUGCAAACAAUAAGACAAUAGUGAAAUAAAAUAACAAUAAAGUAAAAGGAUAUUUACAGGUAGUUGCGACUGUGGCUCACAUCUUCCUCUGGUUUUACGUCCAGAAACGGCUUGAACGCCCUCUAUGGGUUGAGGAUAGGCUUCCUAUCCAGUUUUCUUAUAAACUGGCAAACAAGGUCGUUUAUAGUCAGAUUCCCAAGACUAUAUCGUGCAUGCUCUUUCUGGAAUAAUGGCCAUAACUGGAGAAUCGCUCCUUGCACAUAUCCACUAGGAUGCGUUUCAAGAGACAAAAGGAUAUCAUCCAAUGACUCCUUAUUCAAGCCAUCCCUAAUGAAUUGAAUCUUAUCUUCCCUGUUAUCAGACAUCAUUCCUAAAGAACAUGGGUUUUUAUUGCAACUCAUUCUGGCACACUUAUGACAAGCAACAGAAAUUCUUCGAGCUCGUCGUUUUCUUGCAUAAUUUCCUUUACCACAACCAGGCAUGUAUGCAAUAAAUUUUGGAGGUAACUCACCUGCCGAUCGUACUUUAGUCUCGAUUAACCAACGGAUGUCAGCAGGUAUGUUAUUCCUCAUGAGUAAUCGCAUGCGUUCGGACCAAGCUUUAUAGAUCGUAAGGAGGGCAUUCUGAGGAAGUGAAGGGAAUCGCUUGUGAAGUUUCGCUAGAAUCUCGUUUCUGUCCAUACCUUCGCCUCAGAAUAUCAGUUAUUAUGGGAAACUGAAGUAACCGACUUGAUUGUCACGGAGUACCGUUAUCUGCCACUUCACCGGGGUAACAAACUAAAGCACACAAACAGAAAAAUAAAUUAAAACACACAAAGAAAAUUAAAAUCGUCCUCUUAUUGAAUUUACCUCAAGCUCCAACUGGAUGUCGUAAACACUUCUCUCAAUGUCUCUGAGCUGGCUUUCUAAAGCCUCAACAUAGGCUACUAACUCUGAUGGUUGUAGAGCCCAAAUGCGAUGUGUUUUACAAAAUUGAAUCUGCCUUUUGAGAUGAGUUUUGACACGUUGAAGUGGUUUAAGAAUGUUCAGGAGGAACGGUCUAAGUAAGGUACUCAUGAUUAAAAACGAUAAAAGAAAACUUAAUGGUAAAAUAAACACACUUAUGCAAAAACAAUUUCAAUUAGCAAGAGAAUAAUAAUAAAAAGAAAGAAAGAAAAAUCAAAUCAACGAAAAGAAAAAAAAAUCAAUUCAAAUUUGGUGGGUCAUUCAAAUUUAUUUCAGUGUCUUCUCUAUGUAGUUGGUACUCUAGAUAUGGCUUUAAUCUUUGACCAUUAACUUUAAACGUGACACCGUUCUUUGGGUCCUUAAUUUCAAUUGCCCCAUGUGGAAAAACAGUAUGUACAAUAAAUGGGCCAGACCAACGAGAGCGUAACUUACCUGGGAAUAGGUGCAAGCGAGAAUUGAAUAAAAGCACUUUCUGACCUGGAGUGAACGAUUUUCUCAUAAUUUGCUUAUCAUGGAAGACUUUCAUUCAUUGCUUGUAAAUCUUGGCAUUUUCGUAUGCAUCAUUGCGAAUUUCUUCAAGUUCUGCCAGCUGUAAUCUUCUUUCUGAGCUGGCUUGCUGCAUGUCAAAGUUGAAUUUCUUGAUGGCCCAAUACGCACGAUGCUCGAGUUCCACAGGUAGGUGGCAAGCUUUUCCAUACACUAGUCUGUAGGGUGACAUCCCAAUCGGGGUCUUGAAAGCCGUUCUAUAUGCCCAUAAUGCAUCAUCAAGUCUUAAUGACCAAUCUUUUCUGUCUAGCCUCACCGUCUUUUCUAAUAUGUGCUUUAUUUCUCGAUUGGAGAUCUCAACUUGGCCACUGGUUUAUGGAUGAUACGGGGUCGCCACUUUGUGAGUGAUUGAAUACUUUGUCAAAAGAGCUUUGAAUGCUUUGUUACAAAAGUGGGCACCACCAUCACUGAUUAUUGCUCGAGGGAAUCCAAAGCGUGAAACAAUGUUGCUUUUCAAAAAUCCUAUCACCACCUUGUGAUCAUUGGUCCUACAUGGAAUUGCUUCUACCCAUUUCGAUACGUAGUCAACAGCAACCAAUAUGUAUUGAUGGCCAAAAGAAGGGGGAAAGGGUCUCAUGAAGUCGAUACCCCAUACAUCAAAAAUCUCAACCACUAAAAUUGGAUUUAGUGGCAUCAUAUUCCUUCGCGUGAUGCUCCCCAUUCGUUGACACCUAUCACAUGAAGAACAGAAAGUGUAAGCGUCUCGAAAUAUAGUUGGCCAAUAGAAACCACAUUGUAAAACUUUAGUUGUUGUUUUCUUAGCACUGAAAUGGCCUCCACAAGCUUGUUCAUGGCAGAAUGAAAGGAUAUUCGGAAUUUCACUUUCUGGGACACAUCGUCUAACAAUUUGGUCUGCACAAUACUUGAACAAAUACGGGUCAUCCCAAAAGAAAUUCUUUAUUUCUGCAAAGAAUUUAGCCUUGUCUUGCUUGGUCCAAUACUCUGGAAGUUUACCUGUAACAAGAUAAUUAACUAUAUCAGCAUACCAAGGUAAUACUUCCACAUUCAUUAAUUGUUCAUCUGGAAAUGACUCAUUCAAUAUUAAUGGCUCUGUAAUUGUGUCAAAAUGGACACGAGAGAGGUGGUCCGCCACAACAUUUUCUGUCCCUUUCUUAUCUUUGAAUUCCAAGUCAAAUUCCUGCAAAAGUAACACCCAACGAAUUAGUCUAGCUUUUGCAUCUUUCUUUGUGAGAAGAUAUUUAAGAGCAGCAUGAUCUGUGAAUAUAAUUAUUUUACAACCAAUGAGAUAAUAUCGAAAUUUUUCCAAUGCAAACACUACUGCUAGCAUUUCUUUUUCAGUAGUUGAAUAGUUCAACUGUGCAUCAUUUAAUGUCAUACUAGCAUAGUAAAUAACGUGGGAAAUUCGAUCAACUCUUUGUCCUAAUACUGCUCCUACUGCAUAAUCAGAUGCAUCACACAUUAGCUCAAAUGGUAAGCUCCAGUUUGGGCCCUAAAUGAUGGGUGAUGAUGUCAACAACUGUUUUAAUUUUUCAAACGCCAUAAGACAUGAAUCAUUAAAGAUAAAAGGUACAUCCUUAGCAAGUAAAUUGCAUAAGGGUCUAGAAACUUUGCUAAAAUCUUUAAUGAAACGUCUAUAGAAACCAGCAUGCCCAAGGAAAGAUCUUACUUCUCUGACUGUUUUGGGUGGAGGAAGAUUAGAAAUGAGAUCCACUUUGGCUUUGUCAACCUCAAUACCUUUGCUCGAAAUGAUGUGACCGAGAACAAUACCUUGUUUUACCAUAAAAUGACAUUUCUCCCAAUUUAAGACCAAGUUCUUCUCGAUACAUCUCUGCAGAACUAGUGUUAGAUGAUGUAAACAUUGAUCAAACGAGUCACCAAAGACAGAAAAAUCAUCCAUAAAGACUUUAAGGAAUUGUUCAACCAUAUCAGAAAAAAUGCUCAACAUGCAUCGUUGAAAUGUAGCAGGUGCAUUACAUAAUCCAAAUGGCAUUCUCCUAUAUGCAAAUGUGCCAAAAGGGCAAGUGAAAGUAGUUUUCUCUUGAUCUUUUGGUGCUAUGGGAAUCUGAUUAUAUCCUGAGUAGCCAUCUAGAAAGCAAUAAAAUUCAUGGCCUGCUAAUCUAUCAAGCAUUUGAUCAAUAAAUGGUAAAGGAAAAUGGUCUUUACGUGUGACAGAAUUCAACUUUCUAUAAUCAAUGCAUACACGCCAUCCUGUAGUUACCCUAGUUGGUAUCAAUUUAUUAUCAGCAUUGGUAACUAUUGUGACUCCUGACUUUUUGGGGACAACUUGUACAGGACUGACCCAUGAACUAUCAGAAAUUGGGUAAAUGAUACCUGCGUCUAAUAGCUUAAGGACUUCAGUUCUAACAACUUCUUUCAUGUUAGGAUUUAACCGACGUUGCAUUUCCCUAGUAGAUUUAGCAUUUUCAUCAAGGUGAAUGUAAUGCAUGCAGUCUACUAGUUUUAUACCUUUUAUGUCUGCUAUGGUCCAUCCUAAUGCCCUUUUGUGCUCUUUCAAAACAUCCAACAACUUACCUUUUUGUUCGUCAUUUAAGGAUGAUGAGAUGAUUACCGGCAGAGUACUUUCUUCUCCCAAAAAUGCAUAUUCCAGAGUGUUGGGUAAUGGUUUGAGCUCGAGUUUCGGUGGUGAUUCUGAUGAUGGGAUGAGUUUCUUCUCUGAUGGUGCUAGUUGCUCAACUCUUGACUUCCAUUUAUUAGUGUCCAUAGAUGGUGCUGAGUCAAGCAGGGCGUUGACCUCAUCGAUCGAUCUGUCAAUAUCAAAAUUCAAACCAAAGUGAGUUAAACAUGUUUGUAAAGGAUCAUCACUAAGGUUUGAAACAAAAGUAUCAUCAACUAAUGCUUCAAUUAAAUCCACAUCAACAAUUCCAUCAUUUGCACUGUGAGGUUGUUUGGCAAUGUUGAAGAUGUUCAGCUCCAUAGUCAUGUUGCCGAAAGACAACUGCAUAUUUCCAGUCCUGCAUUGAAUGUGAGCAUCCGCAGUUGCCAAGAAAGGUCGGCCUAGAAUAAUGGGGAUGUGCUUUCUUGAAUCCUGUAUUGGUUGAGUGUCAAUUACAAUGAAAUCAACAGGAAAAUAAAACUUGUCUACCUGGAUAAGCACGUCCUCCACAAUACCACGAGGUAUUUUUGUGGACCGAUCUGCAAGUUGUAACACCAUUGGAGUUGGGUGUAAUUCUCCAAGUCCAAGUUUCACGAAUACAGAGUAAGGCAAAAGAUUUACACUAGCUCCUAAAUCCAACAAAGCAUUCUCAAUUGUGUGGUUCCCUAUACUACAUGAGAUAGUGGGGGAGCUUGGGUCUUUGCAUUUUAAAGGAAUUUUAUGUUGGAGUAUAGAACUAACGUUUUUUGUUAAAAAUGCCUUCUUUUGAACAUGUAUGUUUCUCUUUUUAGUACAAAGGUCUUUAAGAAACUUGGCAUAAGAUGGAACUUGUUUAAUAGCAUCAAGCAAAGGGAUGUUAACACUUACCUGUUUGAAGAUUUCAAGAAUCUCACCUGUGGAUUUUCCCUUUUUUCCUUUCGCUAACCUCUGAGGAAAUGGAGCUUUCGGAACGUAUUCUCGUGGGUUGGUUUCUUCUUUCUCCUCCGGUGAUGAUUCCUCAACAUUCACAGGUACAAUUUGAUUUUCUUUUGUCACCGGCAUCUCCACUUUGUUGUCGACUUCUUUUCCUUUUCGCAAGGUCAUUACUGUUUUGACUUCUCCAUGCUGCUGUGGUGAACUGGUACUUGCUUCAUGCACUCCUUUAGGGUUAAGCACUGGUUGACUUGGAAACUUACCUUUCUCAACGGUCAUUGCCUAGGUCUGAACUGAAGAAGCAAGUUGUCCCACCAUCUUCUCGAGGCUUGAAACUAAUUGGGCUUGUGAGUUGAAGCCCGCUCUUAAUUCAUUUCGUAGUCCAUCAAUGGUGCGGUUCUGUUGCUCAAUCGUAGAGUGAGUAAGAUUCUUGAGAUUCUGGAAUGAAUCCUCCCAUGGUCUAGGUUGAGAGUAGUUCUAGUUCUAAUUAUAUGGUCUAAAUGGGGGCUGAGAGGCUUGAGGAGUUUGAGAAAUUUGUUGCAUUGGUGGAGCUGGAGUUGCUGGUCCAUUCUGUUGGAAUCCUUGAGACCAUGAAAAAUUGGGGUGGUCUCUCCAUCCAGGGUUAUACGUGUUGGAGUAUGGGUUGUAAUUCGAUGAUUUUCUCAUUACACCUAUGGCAUUGGCUUGAUCUGAGUAUGAGUCAUGGUCAUGUGGUUUUGUUGAUUUAGCAGUCGAUAACAAUGCUAUUUGUCGAGAGAGACCUUCAAUUAUUGCUUUGACUUCUUUAAUUUCUGAACUGGAUUCGCCAAUUUGAACCUCAUUUACUCCCUUAAUUCUUCUGGUAUUCCUGAGUGAUCGACUCCGUUGUUGGGAAUUAUCUGCUUGUCGCUGGAAGAAUUCCCAAAUCUCUAAUGCACUUUUUGACAUUAGCUCUCCUCCACUUGUUGCCAUUAGCCAUUCUUGCACAUUUGGUAGUAAUCCCUCCAAAAAGUAUUGGCAUUAGUGCCAUUUCUCGUACCCAUGUUGUGGACACUUCAAGAGUAGCCCAUUGAAUCGCUCCCAUGUUUCGAAAAAUUGCUCGUCUUCUCUCUGUGUAAACUCUGAAAUUUUCCUGCGAAUAGCAUUGGUUUUAUGCACUGGGAAAUAUUUAUUCAAAAAUUUAGUUACCAUUUGUUCCCAUGAUGUAAUGCUAUUAGCAGGCAAAGUAUUUAACCAUGAACAAGCUCUAUCCUUUAAAGAAAAUGGGAAUAAUCUGAGUUUAACAUAAUCGUCUGAAAAAUUCUCAUAUUUAAAUGUUUGACAAAUGGCAUGAAAAUCAUUCAGAUGAUUAUAUAGGUCCUCAUUUUCUAAGCCAUAGAAUGUGGGGAGACAAUUUAGCACACUAGGUUUUAGUUCAAAACUCCUAGCAGCUACAUUUGGGUAUCUUAUGCAUGAUGUGCUCAAAUUUGCUAAAGGACUGAAAUAAUCCUUAAAUGGUCUCUCCUGUGGUGCUUGUAAAUCCAUUUUAUUUUUAACGUGUUUGUGUGUGCGAAGUGUUUUUUCUAAUUCAAGGUCUAUAGGUUCAAGAUUAGGAAAUAAUGACCUACGACCAUGCAUGCAAAAUAAAUCAAAUGAAAAUAAAGAUGGGAAUAAAACAAAUAAAAAUAAAUAAGAGGGAGAAAUUACGAUACUAACCUUUUUGCGCUAUUAAAUCCUUUCUAUAAAAAUACACAAAAACAAAUACGUGAAAUAAAUUAACUAAAAAUAAAUUAAUAAGAUAAACAAAAAAAAUUACAAAGAAAAAUAAAUUAAAAAUUAAAUUACAGAAUUUUAAACAAGAGAAAAAGAAAAGAAAUACUAACCUUUAAAUGUAGAUUCACUUUAUUUCUUUUUUCUUUUUUUUUAAUAAUAAAAAAAAUACAAGAAAACAAAUAAAAGAAAUUAUUCACAAAAAUUAAUUCUAUGAAUUAAAAUUACUUACCUCUCCAGCAACGGCGCCAAAAACUUGUUGUGCAAAUUUUAAUGUACUCGCAAGCGCACAAAUCUAUUGUAGUAUAAAUUAAUGGUGACGAGUGUCGAUCCCACGAGGAGGUGGAUUUUAAUUGUGUAGAAUUAAUUUUGUAAAUGGGUGAUUGGAUUUGUGGUGGAAAUGAUUUGGGAUAUGCUAAAACUUAAAUUAAAAUGGCGAGAAUAAAUUCUAAAAUUGGAAUUGAAAUGGCGAGAAUAAAUUGAAGAGAAUUCUAUUAAAAUGACGUACUUGGGUAUCUGGAUCCGUAUCAACAUGCAUCAUGGGCUAAAUAAUCCUUAUUAAUGCCAAUUAAAUCAUGAGGGGGGAAUCCACACCUCAUGAACCACGCUCUAAUCAAUAUGGUGCUAAGGGCUUAUCGUGCCAAAUAAUAAUAACCUUGUACUAGGGGGCCGGUGAAACCAAGGCGGUACUAGACAAGAAUAUUAUUAUUUGUCGACGAGAAGUCAAAACAUCCACAAAAACUAGAGGGGAAGAGAAAAUAAAUUUACCAAAUUAAGCCCAUGACACAUGUUGAGACUUCACCUUCAACCCAAGCUUGAAUGGAAAUUAGCUACUCAUAAUUGAACUAGGGGCAAAAUGGGAAUUUAUUAAAAUACGAAGAAAAUACAAGAUGGAGAGGGAAUUACAGAAAACAGAGUCCAAAAAUGGAUUCAGAGAUAUCAAAUUAGGGGGGGGAGGCCCCCUUUUUAUAGAUACAUGGAGUAAAUCAUGGCCAUAGGAUUAAAAACAGUUUGGACGCUCAGGAUUGCGCCACGUCAUCAGUCAACAGUCCACGGUUUGACCACGAAGAUGAACAGUAACGCGGUUUGACUCGGAUGAACAGUAACGCGGUUUGACUCGGAUGAACAGUAACGCGGUUUGGUUGAAAAUAAUCCUGUGUGAUGCAUGUAUCGUACGCGAGAUUUUUCAUCCACUGAUAUACUGCCACGUCACCAUCAACAGUAUAUAAGAAUUUUAGCCCAACAGGAUCGUGACACCUCAUCAGUCAAUGCCACAUCAUCGGUCAAUGCCACGUCAUUGAUCCGUCUAUGUGAACAGUGUUGUGAACAGUAACGUAGAUAGUACCGUACACGUGAAUAGUACCGUACAUAUGAAUAGCGCCAUUUUUCCUUUUAUACUCCUCCUAAGGUUUUCGACCGUCCUGAGUUCAAAAGUGAUGUCCAUUUUGCCGUCUGAUCUCUCUUUUAUUGUGAAAUGACUAUAAUGCCCCUAAAAUACAUAAAAUACUUAAUUAAAAUAAAACAAAUGUAAUUAAAUCACAAGAAGGUUAAAUACAUAAAAGUAAGGGUUGUUAGUAAGACUUGAAAUGUAAAAUGACGGUUUUCUCUUUUAUAAAUAUGCAUUUUCUAACACUCAACACUUGUCAUAAAAUUGGUUAUCAAGAUUGUAAUUAAUUAAUGAACAAGCGAAACAACAUAAACAAGAUUAAUUAAUGCACAAGUCGAAAACAUAGACAACAAAAAUUAUGUAAGUAAUUGUUUGUGAUAUAUGCUGGCAAGUGAGGCCUUGAAGGAUGCAGACAUCUCUGAAUUUGUUCACAUUUAUAAAGACAAAGAAUUAGAAAUCUGGUAUGUAUUUGUGUUUAUGAGGAAUAGUACUUAGGAUGGGACGAUGAAGGAUAUCAAAUUCCAAAUGACGAAAAUGAAUACCCAUCUCGUUUGGAUGUGGUUAAGGUUGACAUUUAAAAGAAUCUUGAAGAGAUUGAUGAUGAUGAUUAAUUAAUUUUAUCUUUUUCUACUAGUCUUUUAAUUUCAGUUGAAUUCACUAUUAAUAACAAGUACCCAUUGAAUAAUUGAAUCUGCUAUUGUUAUAGCUAGCUGUUGUUCCUCUAUUGAUAGCCCUGAAAAAUUGAAAUUACCUAGCAAAUGUAAUUGUGUAUUAGGAGAUCUAUAAUCUGCUUUGAUUUUGAUAUUUUCAUUUUCUUUUAUACUUGAGUGCACAUUGUUUACAAAUUUUAUUCUUAAUUAUAUAUUUAGUUUAUUUAUUUAUGUUAUUGAACAGGGAAAUAAUUAAGAGUUUGGGAGUAAAAUUAUAUAAAAUAUCAAGAAUUGGAAAGAAUUGAAGAAGCAUUACUCUUAAUUAUUAACUUUUUCUUGUUUCUUUUUGUGUUAUGAGUUAUAUAUUAUCUACUAUACAUGCAUUUUUUUUCCUUUCAGGUGUAAAAAUAAUAAAAAUAUCCUUUCUUUUUGAUAUAUUUCAUGACUUUAUGGUCUCAGGUCAAGUGAGUGAAAUAUGAGUGUGCAACCCAAGGGGGGGUGAAUUGGAAUUUUAAAAUUUAUCAUAGCAAAUCCACACAACAAGCAAUCUAAUGUCUUAAUAAAAAUUGAAAGCAAUAAGUUCAAUAAAAGCACAAUAAUUAAAGAGUAAGAGAGAAGAGAAACAAACACACGAAUUUUUACGUGGUUCGGCAAUCCCCGCCUACGUCCACGCCUCCAAGCAAUCCAAGCUUGAGGAUUUCACUGUCCAAGCCUUUCCAAGGCUUCAACGAUUACAAUUGACUUCGAGGUGUCAAUAAACCUUUACAACAAAUAGAUUAUCUCCCAAUCUCUUCACUCAAGUGUCUCACACACUCAAACUCUUACAAUUGAGAUGAAUAAAUGAAGGUUACAAUGAAAAUCACUUAAUGAGUAGAUAUUCAAAAAUGAAAAACAAGAAAAGAUUCAAUGUUUGUAUUUCGCAAGUUUGAAGGCUCAAGAUAUCACGUGUGCUUUUUGUUUUUGCUUGUUGGAGAACUUCAAAAUGAGUUGGAUUUGAGUUCUUAUAGUUUGAGCUCAAAAACUAGCUGUUACUCACAUUCUAGGUGUAUCCGGUUUGCCGUUUAUGGAAUUCGGUAAGCCGGAUUUAUGUUACCGUUAAGGCAAAAAUUUGAAUUUUGCCUAUCCGGCUUGCUGGUUUCGGAAUCCGGUAAGCCGUUUGUGUUCUGGAUGCAUUCUGCCCCGUAUCCAGUUUUUCUAAUUUUAUAUCCGGUAAGCCGGAUGCUACAGUAACCUGCUACAGUAACCUGCUACAGUGAAAUUUUUCCUAAAUUUUUAGUUUAACCCCAAAACUUUAUAAAACUGUAGUAUGACCCAAAACGUUAUGAAACUUUGUAAAUAGGUUCAAUUUCAAAAUUUCUAAGUAAUGCUUCGUUGAUCCCAAAACUUUCUGAAAUUAUGAUUUCGCCCAAACUUUGUGAAAUUAUAGAAUGACCUAAAAAUAUUUAAAUAGUUUCAAAUAGAUCCAAAUCUGAAAUUUAAAAUACUAUCAAGGAUUUUAAAAAUACUUUCAUUUUAGUCCAAAAUGUUUUAAUUCCAUAACAUCAUUUUCUUAUUAUAAAAGCACAAUUCAUAAAUCUUUGCUUAAUAAAUACAUGUGGUUUAUUAUCAUCAAAAUCAAUAUUUAUAGCCAUAUAGGCUAACAAUCUCCUCCUUUUUUAUGAUGACAAAAUACAUUAAAAACUUUAAUCUUGUUAUGAAAAAGCUCCCCCUUAAUCAAUGCAAGUUAAAAAAUGAUUUGAAAAUUGUUUAACAAAAACUCCCCAUGCAUACAUGCUCCCCCUAGAUAAAUGCAUAUUUUCAUAACACAUAUUAAAUCAUUCUCACCCUUCAUCAUCAAAAAGAAUAAAAGUGAAAUGCAAGUAACGCAACCCAAGAGGGGGGUGAAUUGGGUUUUUAAAAAUAAUGCAAUACGAUUCGCACAAUAAAUCACUCUAAUGCCUUAAUGAAGUAGAGAACAAUAAAUUCAAGCAAGCGUAAAGAUAAAAUCAAGGGAAGAGAAAAACAAACACGCGGAUUUUUACGUGGUUCGGCAAUCCCCGCCUACGUCCACACCUCCAAGCCAACCGAGCUCGAGGAUUUCACUAUCCAAGCCUCCCAAGGCUUCAAGUUUUUACAAUUGACUUCCAAGGUGUCAAUGAACCUUUAAAACCAAGAGAUUAUCUCCCCAAUCUCUUCAACCCAAGUGUUUCCCACACUUACACACUCACAAUUUGAUAAGAAAUGAAAAUUACAACAAAAACUCUCUUUAAGAGUUGAUAUGCAACUAAUAGCUCAACAAUGAUUCAAUCAAUGAUGAUUUGCAUUUUGGAAGCUCAAUAUAUGUUGUAUGAUCUUAUAUUUGCGUGUAUUAGUUCUUAAAAUGAAGUUUGAGUUGAGUUUUUAUAGUGGAAGCCCAAAAACUAGCCGUUAUAGGCAAAUUCCAGUGCUCAAGCGGUUAGCCGCUUGAUUUAUCCGGCUAGCCGCUCAGGAACAGUAAUGUUACCGUUAUUUUUGAAUUUGCUACAGUAACACUAUUCACUAAAAUUACUUUUUGACCUAAAACUUUCUAUAAUUAUACUAUAGCCCAAAACGUCAGAAAACUUUGCAAAUAGGUCCAAUUUCAGAACUUCUCAAGAAUAGUUGUCUUUCCCAAACUUUUUAAAAUUAUGAUAUGGCCCCAAAGAUUUUAUUGUUUUGCACAAAUACCCAUAUUUUUCAAAGUUCUCAAAAACUUUCACUUUAGUUCAAAAUAUUCAUAAAUUAUAGUAUGGCCCAAAAUAUUUAAAAUGUUUGUAAAAACAUCCAACUCUGAAAUUUGAUACUUAUUAAAAUCAAAGAUUUCAAAUCUUAACAUUUAAGUCCAAUUUACUCAAAUCCACAAAAUACUUUACUUUAUAAAAAUAAAAUAUUUUAGUUUAUGAAAAGUAUUUAAUUAAAUUAAUCUCUUGAGCUUCUCAAAUGCUAAAUCAUGCAUCAAUUAAAUAAUACCGGCUUUACAAGAAUUUGUCGCAAUAAUUCGUCCGUUGAGCUCUAAGUUUUAUUCUUGAUUUCGCCGUUGUCCGUUGAGUGCCUUCAAUCUUGAUUUCACUUGAUUCACUUGCAUAAAUAUUAUCCUUAAAAAACUAGUGUAAAUGUGAAAUACAAUAUUUAUUAUUUUUACUUAAGACACAUGUUUGUUAUCAUCAAAAUUACAUUAUGUGUAGCCCUUUAGGCUAACAAAAAGCUCCCCCUAUCAAUCAUCAAAAUCGCUACAUAAGCACAUUAAAACAAAAAAAAAAUAUCCAUAAGCAUAAGAAAAUCCAUACAAUCCAUAAUGAUCAAUCAAAACAAAUCCAUAACAUUCAACAUAAAUAGUCACAACAAAUCCAUAUCAUCCAAAACAAAGACAUAAACCGAAAAGCAUAAUAACCAUCCAUAGAUUCGAAAAUAAACGAACACACAAUACAGUAAAUGAAAUGUAGAUGUGUCCAAGUACAAGUAUAAGAUACUACUCAGGUGGUGAGGAUGGAGGUGAUGGAGGUGGAAACGGAUAUGAAAUGCCGAAGUGCUCGAAGAGGAGGCGCUGUCCAUGAAUAAUCUGCUGCUGCUGCUGCUGAAACUCAGUCUGCCGCACAGAGAGUGUCCGCACUUCAUCCAUAAUCUGCUUAAGAGUGACCUCUUCAGAGGUAAGAGGAUGUGGAGGUGAUGAAGCGGAUGCAGAUGCACUAGGAGCUGAAGCAACCGUAGAAGAAACUCGGCGUCUACGCUGCCCUCGAAAUGAGAGUGAGAAAACUAGAAGCUGAUCAGCUGGAAUCAUAGCAUUAAGUGGCCGAUCAUCACUUUGGGCUAGAAAGGUAAACUUGUUAUCGCUGUAUUUGACCCAAGUGCCAUCCUUCCACUCAAAGCCUAAACCAAAAAUAACAUCAUCCCCAAUACCCUUGGACGGCCUACAAGAUGGUUCUAGAAUCGACACUUCAAAGAAUUUAAGAAUCGGGUAAUGGAGUGACCAUAAGGAAGAGACCGGGUAAUCAAGGCAGGAAUGCUCAACAUUGUGCGGAUGAUUGAAUAGCCCAAGUUAACCGGGCGACCUCUAAGAAUGCAGUCAAUCAUGGUGACAUCCAUGUGAGAAACCUCAUCCAAAUGUCCUGAUCUAGGAAGUACAAUGGACUGGAUGAUACGAAGCAAAAAAAGAGUUUGAAGACAAAGACACUGAGUACGGAAAUGAAUGGUACAGUCUUCAACAGAAAGAUCACUACGCCAACAAAUGUUACAAAUGGCAUCAACAUGAACAUAGUCAUCAAUAUCAGAAGGUUUCCUAAGAGAAAAAAUGUCCAGGCCAUCAUCGGAAGAUCCUAGGAUGGAGUUCAACUCCGAAUCAUCAAAUUCAAUCAAAACGCCUCUAACUGUAGUGAUUACUCGAUUCUCUUUCUCCGCGGAACAAUCCAUAUUCGAGUAAAAUACUUUCACCAAGUCGGGAUACACAUUCUCCUCAAUCAACAAUGCAUCAAUCCAACCAACAUCUCCCAACAAUUGAAAUAUAUUUCUAUGGCUAAUCUUGAGAGUAUGCAUAACAUCCGUUAAAACAAAGAAAGUGUUGAGUACCUCACGAGUCUGAAAGUUUUGUUGAAACCGUUUGAUCAAGUGUUGCUUGUUCUGAAAAUGAAUGGACUCAAAAGUGGAUUGAUUUGAGGUGCCCCUUGCUUCCCGUGGGCGCAUGGUUGGUUGAACCGAUUCUUUGCCUUUUCUUCGAACCGGCCGAGAGCUUGACAUUUUGAUUUUGAUGAAUUUGAAGAUAAAAACACCAAAGAGAAUGAAGAUGAUGAAGAUUGAAAGUGAUUUGGAGAAACAAAUUGGAUCAAAAACAGCUUGAGUGUGAGAAAUCUAGAGAGAGAAAAAUCGGUCCAAAAUCUAGGUUGAAAUUGGGAUCUAAGGAUUCAAAUGUUGAAAAUGAAUUUCAAGGAUGAUUUUGAGUUCUUAAUGAGAUGGAGAAUGAUUUUCUUGAUUCAAUUUGAUGUGAAAAGGAUAGAAAAUGAAGGAUUUUGGAGUGAAAAAGAGAGAGAAUGGAAACGGUUUGUAGAGAGAGUGGAAACCGGAUUGCCGAAAAGAGAGAGAGGAAGGAGAUGAAUAGCACAAAACUCACGAAUCCGGCUUGCCGGAUUUCCUAACCGGCAAGCCAAUUAGAGGGCAGAAAGGUGAAAGCCGAAAACGACUUUCCGAAUUUGGAAUCCGGUAGACCGGAUAUGGACCCGAGAGCAGCAAGAGGGAAUUCGGCUUGCCGGUUUCCUUAACCGGCUGGCCGGUUUCGAGAGCCUCCAAAAAUUCAGUUUUUCGGAUUGUCUUGAACUGGAAAUCUGGUUUUGUUCCUGCUAGUUUCCACGCGAAUUCAGUUUUCCGGUUUUGAUAACCGGUAGACCGGUUGAGAGGCAGUGAAUUCCCUUCCAAAUUCGGUUUUCCGGAUUUAGGAACCGGUAGACCGGUUAUGAGGCAGAGAGGUGCCUUAGCAAAUCUGGUUUUCCGGAUUGAAAAUCCGGUUUUCCGGAUUGAAAAUCCGGUUAUCCGAAUGUUGUUCCGAGAGCAACCAAAAUUAAUCCGGUUUUCCGAAUUGAAAAUCCGGUUAUCCCGAAUUUGUUCCGACAGAAAUCAAUAAGGAAAAAUGUUUUUCCGGAUGAAUGGAAAGGGAAUAUUUGCUAGCUCUUGUGCUUGUACUACACACACAAUUUUAUUUCUGGCCUUAAAAAUUGAUUAAAUUUAAAUCAUUUUGAGAUUUAAACUUUUCAAUAAGCCAUUUAAUGCAUGAAACACAAAAUCAUAAAAUCAUAAAUUUACAAGCAUAUCAAGUUAUCUAAUUCAUGAAGCAUAAAUCCAUGUGAUAACAAACAUAUCAAGCCAUGUAGAAAAACAUGAAUUAAGAUUCAACAUUCAUCAUUCCAAGCUCAUGUCUUAUCUUUAUAAAAUGCUCUUCGCUAAGAGGUUUUGUAAAGAUAUCCGCAAGUUGAUUUUCAGUGGAAACAAAUUUAAUUAUGACAUCUCCUUUUUUAACAUGAUCUCUAAGGAAAUGAUGUCUAAUUUCUAUAUGCUUAGUCCUAGAAUGUUGAAUAGGAUUCUUAGAAAGAUUUAUAGCACUAGUAUUGUCACAUAAGAUAGGAAUUUGAUCAAGCUUAAUACCAUAGUCUCUAAGGGUUUGUUUCAUCCAUAGAAUUUGUGCACAACAACCACCUGAGGCAAUAUAUUCUGCCUCGGUGGUUGAAAGCGCAACCGAGUUUUGUUUCUUACUAAACCAAGAGACAAGAGAAUAGCCUAGGAAGUGACAUGUUCCACUAGUACUCUUUCUAUCAACCUUAUACCAAGCAAAAUCGGCAUCCGAAUAACAAGUUAAAUUAAUAUGAGUUCCUCUAGGAUACCAAAGGCCAAGAUUAAUAGUGCCAAUUAAAUAUCAAAAAAUGUGUUUGACAGCUAGCAUGUGAGACUCUUUAGGACAAGAUUGAAAUCUAGCACACAAGCAAACACUAAACAUAAUAUCAGGCCUACUAGCAGUCAAGUAGAGUAAGGAUCCAAUCAUACCUCGAUAUGUCUUGAUAUCAACUUCCUUACCUUUCUCAUCUUUGUCCAGCUUGAUGGUAGUACUCAUAGGAGUGCUUUUUGCCGUUCCAUUAUCAUAGCCAAAUCUUUUGAGUAGAUCUUUCACGUACUUGGCUUGGUUUAUGAAAAUUCCUUCCUCGUUUUGUUUAAUUUGAAGUCCAAGGAAGUACUUCAACUCUCCCAUCGUACUCAUCUCAAACUCUUGGCUCAUACAUGAUGAAAAAUCUUUACACAACAACUCAUUAGUAGAACAAAAAAUAAUAUCAUCAACAUAAAUUUGAACAAUAAGUAUGUCUUGGUUCUUAUGCUUAAUAAAAAGAGUUGUGUCCGCUUUUCCCAUUGAAAAAUCAUUAUCCAACAAGAAAUUUUUAAGCCUAUCAUACCAAGCUCUAGGUGCUUGUUUUAAACCAUACAAAGCCUUGGAUAACUUAUACACAUGAUCUGGAAAUUUUUCAUUUUCAAAACCAGGAGGUUGUUGUUGAGUGUUAGAAAAUGCAUAUUUAUAAAGGAGAAAACCGUCAUUUUACAUUUCAAAUCUUACUAACAACCCUUACUUUUAUGUAUUUAACCUUCUUGUGAUUUAAUUACAUGUGUUUUAUUUUAAUUAAGUAUUUUAUGUAUUUUAGGGGCAUCAUAGUCAUUUCACAAUAAACGAGAAAUCAGAUGGCAAAACGGACAUCACUUUUGAACUCAGGACGGUCGAAAACCUUAGGAGGAGCAUAAAAGGAAAAAUGGCACUGUUCACAUGUACGGUACUAUUCACGUGUACGGUACUGUUCACGACACUGUUCACAUAGACGGACCGAUGACGUGGCAUUGACUGAUGAGGUGUCACGAUCCUGUUGGACUAAAAUUCUUAUAUACUGUUGAUGGUGACGUGGCAGCAUAUCAGUGGACGAAAAAUCUCGCAUACGGUGCAUGCAUCACACAGGAUUAUUUUCAACCAAACCGCAUUACUGUUCAUCCGGGUCAAACCGCGUUACUGUUCAAAGUCGGGUCAAACCGUGUUACUGUUCAUCCGCGUGGUCCAACUGUGGACUGUUGACUGAUGACGUGGCGCAAUCCUGAACGUCCAAACUGUUUUUAAUCCGAUGGCCAUGAUUUACUCCAUGUAUCUAUAAAAAGGGGGCCUCUCCCCCCUAAUUUGAUAUCUCUGAAUCCAUUUUUGGACUCUGUUUUCUGUAAUUCCUUCUCCAUCUUGUAUUUUCUUUGUAUUUUAAUAAAUUUUCAUUUUGCCCCUAGUUCAAUUAUGAGUGGCUAAUUUUCUUUCAAGCUUGGGUUGAAGGUGAAGUCUCAACAUGUGUCAUGGGCUUAAUUUGAUAAAUUUAUUUUCUCUUCCCCUCUAGUUUUUGUGGAUGUUUUGACUUCUCGUAGACAAAUAAUACUAAUCUUGUCUAGUACCGCCUUGGUUUCACCGGUCCUCUAGUACAAGGUUAUUAUUAUUUGGCACGAUAAGCCCUUAGCACCAUAUUGAUUAGAGUGUGGUUCCUGAGGUGUGGAUUCCCCCCUCAUGAUUUAAUUGGCAUUAAUACGGAUUAUUUAGCCCAUGAUGCAUGUUGAUACGGAUCCAGAUACCCAAGUACGUCAAUUUAAUAGAUUUUCUCUUCAAUUUAUUCUCUCAAUUGCAAUUCCAAUUUUAGAAUUUAUUCUCGCCAUUUUAAUUUAAUUAUUAGUAUAUUCCAAAUCAUUUCCACCAUAAAUCCAACUACCCAUUUACAAAAUUAAUUCUAUAUAUAAUUAAAAUCCACCUCCUCGUGGGAUCGACACUCGUCACCAUUAGUCUAUACUACAACAGAUUCGUGCGCUUGCGAGUACAUUAAAAUUUGCACAACAGUUGUUUCACAUAAACUUCCUCCAUAAUAUAUCCAUUUAAGAAAGCACUCUUGACAUUCAUUUGAUAUAAAAUAAAAUCAUUAUGACAUGCAUAUGCUAACAACAUCCUAAUGGAUUCUAACCUUGCUACAGGUGCAAAAGUUUCAUCAAAAUCAAUUCCUUCUUCUUGGUUGUAACCUUGAGCCACUAAUCUAGCUUUAUUUCUUACAACCACACCGGAUUCAUCCAUUUUGUUUCUAAAUACCCAUUUAGUACCUAUAAUGGAUUGAUGUUCCGGAUUAGGAACUAACUCCCACACAUUGUUUCUUUCAAAUUGAUUCAACUCCUCUUGCAUUGCCAUAAUCCAAGAUUCAUCAUGUUCCACAUCCGCAAAGGAUUUUGGUUCAAUUUGAGAAAUAAAUGCAGCAUGCUUACAUGUGUUCCUAAGAGAUGAUCUAGUGGUAACACCUCAUGAGGGAUCUCCUAAAAUUACAUCCUUAGGGUGAGAGGAUACAUACUUCCACUCCUUGGGGAGUGUUUUGUUAGCCUAAAGGGCUACACAUAAUGUAAUUUUGAUGAUAACAAACAUGUGUCUUAAGUAAAAAUAAUAAAUAUUGUAUUUCACAUUUACACUAGUUUUUGAAGGAUAAUAUUUAUGCUAGUGAAUCAAGUGAAAUCAAGAUUGAAGACACUCAACGGACAACGGCGAAAUCAAGAAUAAAGCUUAGAGCUCAACGGACGAAUUAUUGCGACAAAUUCUUGUAAAGCCGGUAUGAUUUAAUUGAUGCAUGAUUUAGCAUUUGAGAAGCUCAAGAGAUUAAUUUAAUUAAAUACUUUUCAUAAACUAAAAUAUUUUAUUUUUAUAAAGUAAAGUAUUUUGUGGAUUUGAGUAAAUUGGACUUAAAUGCUAAGAUUUGAAAUCUUUGAUUUUAAUAAGUAUCAAAUUUCGGAGUUGGAUGUUUUUACAAACAUUUUAAAUAUUUUGGGCCAUACUAUAAUUUAUGAAUAUUUUGAACUAAAGUGAAAGAUUUUGAGAACUUUGAAAAAUAUGGGUAUUAUGUUGAAAAGGACCUUUGUGCGAAACAAUAAAAUCGUUGGGGCCAUAUCAUAAUUUUAAAAAGUUUGGGAAAGACAACUAUUUUUGAGAAGUUCUGAAAUUGGAUCUAUUUGCAAAGUUUUCUGACGUUUUGGGCCAUAAUAUAAUUAUAGAAAGUUUUGGGCCAAAGUGUAAUUUCAAUGAACAGUGUUACUGUAGCAAAUUCAAAAAAUAACGGUAAUAUUACUAUUCCUGAGCGGCUAGCCGGAUAAAUCAAGCGGCUAACCGCUUGAGCGCUGGAAUUUGCCUAUAACGGCUAGUUUUUGGGCUUCCACUAUAAAAACUCAACUCAAACUUCUUUUUAAGAACCAAUACAAGCAAAUAUAAGAUCAUAUAACAUAUAUUGAGCUUCCAUUUCGUAAAUCAUCAUUUGUUGAAUCAUCAUUGAGCUAUAAUUUGUUAUUCACUCUUAAAGAGAGUUUUAUUGUUGUGAAUUUCAUUUCUCAUCAAUUUGUGAGUGUACAAGUGUGGAAAACACUUGGGGUGAAGAGAUUGGGGAUAUAAUCUCUUGUUGUAAAGGUUCAUUGACACCUUGGAAGUCAAUUGUAAACAUUUGAAGCCUUGGGAGGCUUGGAUAGUGAAAUCCUCAAGCCGGGUGAGCUUGGAGGCGUGGACGUAGGCGGGGAUAGCCGAACCACGUAAAAAUCCUUGUGUUCGUUUUCUCUUCCCUUACUCUUUUAAUAUGUACUUGAUUGAAUUUAUUGUUUUUGAUUUGAUUAAGGCGGUAGAUUAAAUUGUUGUGCGAAUUGUAUUGCAUAAAAUUUAAAAUCCCAAUUCACCCCCCCUCUUGGGUUGCAUAACUUGCAUUUCAUUUGGUAUCAGAGCAAGGUGCUCUUGUGUAGACUUAAUCGUCUAGAGUUAAAGAUCCAUGGCAACCCAUAGUGACUCAACCUUUAGGGAAGGACAAUCUACAAUUAGACCACCGUUCUUUGACGGUAAUGACUACCCAUAUUGGAAAACUAGGAUGAGAAUUUAUUUACAAGCUUUAGAUUAUGAAAUUUGGGAAAUUGUUUGUGAUGGUCCGUUUAUGCCUUUGAUUAAAAACGAAGUUGGGGAAGAUAUUCCAAAACCUUCAAGGGAAUGGAAUGAAUUGGAAAAGAGAAAAGCUUCUCUAAACUCCAAAGCUAUGAAUGCCUUGUUUUGUGCACUAGAUAAGAAAGAGUUUCAUAGAGUAUCUAGUUGUGAAAGUGCUAAUGAAAUUUGGCACAAACUUGAAGUUGUUUAUGAAGGCACGAAUCAAGUGAAAGAGUCUAAAAUUAGUAGGUACACUCGACAAUAUGAAUUGUUUCAAAUGGAACAAAAUGAGAGUGUGUAUUCUAUGUAUACUAGAUUUACGGACAUAGUGAACACUCUAGGAGCCCUAGGAAAAACAUUUUCAAAUAGUGAGAAAGUUAAGAAAAUCAUUAGGUCGUUACCUAAGGAAUGGAGAUCAAAAAGGACUGCCAUUGAGGAAGCCAAAGAUUUAAAUAUUUUAUCUAUUGACGAUUUAAUUGGUUCUCUUAUUUCUUAUGAGGAAGAUUUGGCAGCCGAAAGAGGCAAUGGGGAGAAGAAGAAAAGCAUUGCUCUCAAAGCCAUGAAACAUGAAAGUGAUGAGGAAAGCGAGCUGGAUGAGGAGGAGAUGGAUAUGCUGACUAGGAGGCUUAGAAAACUUUUUAAGAAAUCCGGUGAGCGAAGAAAAUCUAGAGACCUCAAGAACCGAAAGGAGAAGAAGGAAGUAAUCAAAUGUUAUGAGUGCAAGAAGCCCGGUCAUAUAAGAACGGAAUGCCCUCUUCUCAAUAAGCUCAAGAAGAGAGCAAUGGUAGCCACAUGGGAUGAUAGCGAUGAGGAAACAAGUGAUGGUGAAGAACAUCAAGAAAUGACAAAUCUAGCUCUCAUGGGAAUUGGAGAUGAAUCGGAUGAUGAACUUGAUGAGGUAAAUGAUCUUUCUACUUAUGAUGAAUUAUAUGAUGCUUUUAAAGAAUUGCAUGAUAAUUGGAUAAAAAUUGGUAGAAAGAAUGUAUGUCUUAAAAAGAAAAUGGUAAAGCUCACAAAUGAGAAUGAAUCUCUAAGUGCAAAGAUUACAUGCCUAGAAUUAGAGAAUAAAACAUUGUAUGAUAAAGUUGCAUUAUCGAAUGAGAAACCUAGCACUUCACAUGAGCAUCUAGAAUCAUAUGUAGAUGACUUGAAAAAUGAAAAUGAUGCUUUACAGAAAUGCAAUGAUUCAUUAAAUGAAAAGAUUAAAGGACUAGAGUUGGAUAAUAAAAUGUUGCAUGAUAGAAUUGCAUCAUUUAAAUGCAAGCAAAGUACUUCAUAUGAGCAUGAGAAAUCACAUGUUGGUGAAUUAUUGAAAGAAAAUGAAGUGCUUAAGAAAAAGAGCAAUGAACUAAAUCAAAUUGUGUUAAAAUUCACAAAUGGGCAAAAGAUGUUGGAUAACUUGCUUAAUUCACAAAAAUGUGUGUUUGAUAAAGGAGGUAUCGGUUAUAAGCCAAAUUUGAAACAAAAAUAUUAUAAGAGUUAUUUUGUUAAAACUACCUCCAUUAAUGAUCAAAUUGUAUGUCAUUAUUGCAAUCAAAAUGGUCAUAUGAAGAAUAGAUGUUCUAUUAAAAGAAAUGUGUAUUAUGGAGCAAAAUGUAUUUGGGUUCCAAAAGGAAUCAUUGCUAACACUCAAGGACUCAAGAGUAUUUGGGUACCAAAAUACACAACUUGAACAAUUUUUUGUAGGUACCACAAUCAAGGAAUGGUGGAGAAGUUCCUUGAUGAAAGCUUGUGAGGAUAAUCAUUUGAGCAUGAUUUAGGAGAGAAAGAUGAGGCAAGAUGAUUUAAUUGUUUUGGUAAUAAUUCUUGCCAUAUUAAUUUUGUUGAAUGAAUUAUGAUAAAUGAAUUUGCGAAAAUAUGCUUGUAUGUUUACAUGAUUGAAUUAUCAUUGUGUUUAACAUUGAGUGUUUUAUCAUGAUGCAAGGUUAUAUAUAAAUGAUGAUAGUUUAUCAACUUAUCAUGAUGGAUUCGUUUGAUGUUAAUGUUUAUGAAGUGUUUAAGCAUGAUAGUUAAGUGGUCUGUUUGAUUUAUUAACUUUUGAAUGCUUAUAUGUUUAAUUAUUGUGAAAAUCCUAAGUUUGCACAAUCUGUAAUGAAUUGGUCAUAACUCCUUCUAGAAAACUCCAAAUCCAGUUCUGUAAAAUUUAUUGGAAAGCUAACUUAAUUAUCUUUCCAACGGUAUAUAGCUUGCAUGUUAAUUCUGGCUCAAUCAAUACAGUUUUUAUUUCGAAGUUGACCUUUCUGCAUUUUCUUAAGUUUUGAAUGCUUAGAUGCUUCAUGAUUGUAUGCUUGUUGGAUGGAUUAUUUGUUUGAAUUAAUUAUCUUUUGGAUGUUUAAAAUCAUGAAUCAUGCAUUAAAUUGGCUCUUGAGAUGUUUCGGGAUCACAAAAUGAUCACGGAAUUGAUUGAAACAAGCCAAAAAGCAAGUAGAGUGCAGGUGGACAGCAACCAGGCGGCUAGCCGCUUGGUCCAAGCGGCUAACCGCUUGGAAAUGUCCCCCAACCCGAGAGCAAGCGGCUAGCCGCUUGCCCCCAAGCGGCUAGCCGCUUGGUCACGGGUUUGGAUGAUUUUGUUUUGCUUCUUCUUCCUCUUUCGUGAGUUUUCUGCACAUGCUUUCUCUCUCACUCAAAACCGUGAGCAACCCAUCCAUUUUCACCUCCAUUUUCUUUUUUNNNNNNNNNNNNNNNNNNNNNNNNNNNNNNNNNNNNNNNNNNNNNNNNNNNNNNNNNNNNNNNNNNNNNNNNNNNNNNNNNNNNNNNNNNNNNNNNNNNNNNNNNNNNNNNNNNNNNNNNNNNNNNNNNNNNNNNNNNNNNNNNNNNNNNNNNNNNNNNNNNNNNNNNNNNNNNNNNNNNNNNNNNNNNNNNNNNNNNNNNNNNNNNNNNNNNNNNNNNNNNNNNNNNNNNNNNNNNNNNNNNNNNNNNNNNNNNNNNNCAUCAUCUCUCCACAUAAAACCCAAAAAUCAAAAAUUCUCACUCUACCCGUUUCUCUCUCUUCAUUUUUCAAGCAUCCUUUAGCUCUUUUUUAAUCAUAAACUAGCUUCAUUCAUCUCUAGGAUUGAUUCUCUUGCCUCAAACAAAUCCGUUUUACUUAAACUUUGUUAAAACCCGAAAUUGCUUUUUUAAGCUCUUUUUUCUUCCAACAAUGGCGGGUGGUGACAAAUCCAAGGGGAAACACGUGGCCAAGAAGCGUAAGGAUGAUCAUGGAGAUUAUUCGGACUUUAUGUUGAUUCAUUUUCCUCGACUCCAACUUCGGAAAAUUUUUCUCGACCAUUUCAAACCAAGGACGGUAAUUACUCCUCAUUUUGUCAAUCUCAAUAAUAUGAAGAAUUUAGAAAUUUGUGAUAAUUCUCUUAAAGAUUUACUUAUUGCUAUGGGAUGGAAGAAUGUGUUGGUCGUUAAUGAUCCUUACUAUGAAAAUUUAGUCAAGGUUUUCUAUUCGAAUAUGGAUACGGAUGUGUCAAAUAGAAUUGUUACUAAUGUUGGGAGAAUUCACAUUGAAUUUGAUGUUGCUUUGCUAAAUUCUAUCCUUGGCACUCCAAAUGAGGGAUUGGAAAUAUAUAGUGCUAGAGCCAAAAUCAAACAACCUUGGUUUUUUUCUUGAACAUGCCGUUCGAAAAAUUUGUCGACGGCGUGAUUUGUCCACUGCAUUUUGUAACUCACCUUUGAAAUCUCAAGCCUUACCUCUUCAAACUCGAAUCCUUCAUUAUGUUCUCCAUCAUGUGAUUACUCCUAGGGGGGGUCAUGCGGAUGAAGUUAGUCGUUUAGAUGUAGCCAUUUUGGACUGCAUUCUAGAGGAGAGGGUGCUCAAUAUUGGGUAUAUUAUUCUUAAUCAUAUGCUUAGUACUCCCAAUUUAGCCAAAAGAUCCCUUCCAUAUGCUAGUAUUAUUACUCGAAUUCUAGAGUAUUUCCAUGUCCCUAUAACCGAGUCAAUCUCCUUGAAUUCGAGGGAAUUAGGCGAUGAGUCAAUCGCUAAUCUGGGUUUUUAUUGGAGGGAUGAUAGCUGGCAUAAAGAUCAAAGAACCAAAAAGGUUACGGAACUUGCUCCUUCAGAUCAUCGUUUCUUUAACGAUGUCCGUCCCCCACACUUGCUUCGUGAUCUUAGUGCUCCAUAUCUCUCACAUCCUCCACCUUCCGAGGGUCCUUCUCACUCUACUUCUGACUCUGAGGAUCCGUUGCAGCAGCUGUUAACUAAAGUGGAUUCACUUUCUGAGAGGCAAGACCAACUCCAGUCUAUGCUUGAAGCUUUUCAACUUCAGUCCAUUUCCGAGCGAGAGAGUCUCUUUGCUCAACAGCAGCAGCUUCUUGAUGGCCAGCAGCAACUUUUUGUAGCCCUUGGAUUUCCACCCCCAUCCUCUUCCUCACAUCCACCAUCUCCUUAGUACUUUAUUUUAUUUUGUUAUUUGUCACUCUGCACUACAUUUAUUCAUGCAUUGUUGUUUUUUCAUUUGCGGAUGAUAUCUUGUUAUUUGAUCUUCGGAAAUGCUAUAUUUGGAUGAUGUUUUAUGCUUAAUUCUUAUGUGUUGCUUGAUGACUUGGUGGAGUUGUUGGUUUGUUAGACUUAAGCUUAUAUGGAAGUGUUUUUAAUUACAUUGUGUAUUUUGAAGAUUUGUUCAUUUUUAAGGGGAGACUCUGCCGAAAUUUUUGCUCGCACACAAUUGGUAAUAUCUUUCUUGAAUCAUUUUUGAUGAUCUUGUUUUCAAUUGCAUGUUUCUAUUUUUUUUAAGAGGGUAAUAAACUUGAUGAGUUUUUUUUUUUAUAAUGAUAUUUUGGUUAAAUAUUUUCGGUCUUAGCAUGAAUUACUAGUAAUUUUGAUGAUGAAGGGGGAGAAGUCAUGUAUUUUGAAUAUGAAGACAUGUAAUACAUAUUUUUUUUGUAUUUCAAGCAUUUAUGCAUGUUUUUGAAAUAUUAAGGGGGAGCUUUCAAAUUAUCAUAAAUCAAAUAUUCAGGGGGAGUUUUUUGAUUUAUGUGUUUAAUCAUGUAUGCCAUGUAUUAAGGGGGAGUUUAAUAUCAAAAUACAUGAGAUGUUUGUCAUCAUCAAAAAGGGGGAGAUUGUUAGCCUAAAGGGCUACACAUAAUGUAAUUUUGAUGAUAACAAACAUGUGUCUUAAGUAAAAAUAAUAAAUAUUGUAUUUCACAUUUACACUAGUUUUUGAAGGAUAAUAUUUAUGCUAGUGAAUCAAGUGAAAUCAAGAUUGAAGACACUCAACGGACAACGGCGAAAUCAAGAAUAAAGCUUAGAGCUCAACGGACGAAUUAUUGCGACAAAUUCUUGUAAAGCCGGUAUGAUUUAAUUGAUGCAUGAUUUAGCAUUUGAGAAGCUCAAGAGAUUAAUUUAAUUAAAUACUUUUCAUAAACUAAAAUAUUUUAUUUUUAUAAAGUAAAGUAUUUUGUGGAUUUGAGUAAAUUGGACUUAAAUGCUAAGAUUUGAAAUCUUUGAUUUUAGUAAGUAUCAAAUUUCGGAGUUGGAUGUUUUUACAAACAUUUUAAAUAUUUUGGGCCAUACUAUAAUUUAUGAAUAUUUUGAACUAAAGUGAAAGAUUUUGAGAACUUUGAAAAAUAUGGGUAUUAUGUUGAAAAGGACCUUUGUGCGAAACAAUAAAAUCGUUGGGGCCAUAUCAUAAUUUUAAAAAGUUUGGGAAAGACAACUAUUUUUGAGAAGUUCUGAAAUUGGAUCUAUUUGCAAAGUUUUCUGACGUUUUGGGCCAUAAUAUAAUUAUAGAAAGUUUUGGGCCAAAGUGUAAUUUCAAUGAACAGUGUUACUGUAGCAAAUUCAAAAAAUAACGGUAAUAUUACUAUUCCUGAGCGGCUAGCCGGAUAAAUCAAGCGGCUAACCGCUUGAGCGCUGGAAUUUGCCUAUAACGGCUAGUUUUUGGGCUUCCACUAUAAAAACUCAACUCAAACUUCUUUUUAAGAACCAAUACAAGCAAAUAUAAGAUCAUAUAACAUAUAUUGAGCUUCCAUUUCGUAAAUCAUCAUUUGUUGAAUCAUCAUUGAGCUAUAAUUUGUUAUUCACUCUUAAAGAGAGUUUUAUUGUUGUGAAUUUCAUUUCUCAUCAAUUUGUGAGUGUACAAGUGUGGAAAACACUUGGGGUGAAGAGAUUGGGGAUAUAAUCUCUUGUUGUAAAGGUUCAUUGACACCUUGGAAGUCAAUUGUAAACAUUUGAAGCCUUGGGAGGCUUGGAUAGUGAAAUCCUCAAGCCGGGUGAGCUUAGAGGCGUGGACGUAGGCGGGGAUAGCCGAACCACGUAAAAAUCCUUGUGUUCGUUUUCUCUUCCCUUACUCUUUUAAUAUUGUACUUGAUUGAAUUUAUUGUUUUUGAUUUGAUUAAGGCGGUAGAUUAAAUUGUUGUGCGAAUUGUAUUGCAUAAAAUUUAAAAUCCCAAUUCACCCCCCCUCUUGGGUUGCAUAACUUGCAUUUCAUGUUUGUGAAGUACCUUCAUUUUGCUCUGCAUUUGUUUCUUCAUGAUGUUCUUCUUGAAUUCCAUGUGGCGCGUCUUCUUGGUUGUCAUUCGAUGCUUCUUCUUGUUGUUCUUCUUCUACAUUAUCAUCAACAACAACUUUCUCCGUAGAGGAGGGGUUAGACUCAUCAAAUGUAACAUGCAUAGAUUCUUCCACAACUAAAGUUCUUUUAUUAUAAACUCUAUAAGCUUUGCUUGAAUUUGAAUAACCAAGAAAAAUGCCAACAUCAGAUUUUAGAUCAAAUUUACCAAGAUUAUCUUUUGUGUUCAAAACAAAAUAUUUGCAUCCAAAAACUUUAAAAUAGCCAAUGUUGGGUUUUCUAUAUUUCCAAAGCUCAUAUGGAGUUUUAUUAAGAUUAGGUCUAAUCAACACCCGAUUUAAAACAUAACAAGCGGUGUUGACGGCUUCGGCCCAAAAAUACUUAGGCAAAGAGUUUUCAUUCAACAUGGUUGUAGCCAUUUCUUGAAUAGACAUAUUCUUUCUUUCUACUACUCCAUUUUGUUGUGGAGUCCUAGGUGAUGAAAAUUGAUGUUCAAUGCCAAAGUCAUUACAAAAGUUCUCAAAUGCAUUACUCCAUUUUGUUGUGGAGUCCUAGGUGAUAAAAAUUGAUGUUCAAUGCCAAAGUCACUACAAAAGUUCUCAAAUGCAUGAUUUUCAAAUUCUCCACCAUGAUCACUUCUAAUACAAGUAAUAGAAUAACCUUUUUCAUUUUGAACCUUUUUAUAGAAAAUUUGAAAUGCAUCAAUGGCAUCAUCCUUAUUAGCUAAGAACAAUACCCAUGUGUAUCUAAAAUAAUCAUCCACAACUACAAAUGCAUAAAAUUUACCACUUAAACUAGCAUAUCUAGAAGGUCUAAAUAAAUCUAUAUGAAGCAAUUGAAGUGGUUUUGAAGUGGAGACAUGAUUCUUGCUUUUGAAUGAAGUUUUGAUUUGUUUUCCAAAUUGGCAUGCUUCACAAGUUCUAUCUUUUUGAAAAUUGAUUUUUGGAAGACCUUUUACUAAAUCAUUUUUCACAAUUUUUGAAAUCAAAUCCAUGCUUGCAUGACCUAAUCUUCUAUGCCACAACCAACCAUCAUCAUGUAAUGCGGAGAGGCAUUUCUCAUUUGUUGAUGCACAAUCUAUAUUAAUGGUAUAGACAUUAACAUAUCUAUUUCGUACAAACAAGACUUUCCCAUCACAUGCAUUCUCAAUAACACAUUUUGAUUCAUCAAAGAUAACUCUAUAUCCUUUAUCACAUAAUUGACUAAUACUAAGUAAAUUGUGUUUCAAGUUUUCAACCAAGCACACAUUUUCAAUGAGAGUAGAGGAUACAUUACCGACAUUUCCAAUUCCAAUGAUUUUUCCUUUUGAAUUAUCCCCAAACAAUACAUCUCCACCAUUUUCGAUCUUGGUAAAGCUUGAAAACCAAGAAUAAUUCCAUGUCAUGUGUCUUAAACAACCGCUGUCCAAGUACCAUUUAUUCUUCUUCUUCUUUGAGCCAUGUAGAAAAAAUCUCAAGUUUUAGGUACCCAAACCUUUUUAGGUCCUUGAGAGUUAGCAAUGGUUCCUUUCGGAACCCAAACACAUUUCACACCAUAAUAUGCAUUUCUCUUCACUGCACAUCUAUUUUUCAUAUGACCAUCUUGAUUGCAAUAAUGACAUACAAUUUUAUUGUUAAUAGAUGUAUUCUUAAAAAAUAACUCUUGUAAAAUUUUUGUUUCAAAUUCGGUUUAUAACCUAUGCCACUUUUGUCAAAUACACAUUUUUGUGAGUUUAGCAAAUUGUCCAACAUAUUUUGCCCAUUUGUGAAUUUUAGCACAAUUUCAUUUAGUUCAUUGUUCUUUUUAAGCAUUUCAUUCUCAUUUUUCAAGUCAUUCAUUUGUGACUCUAAGUGCUCAUGUGAAGUGCUAGAAUUCUCAAAUGAUGCAAUACUCUCAUGCAAUGUUUUAUUUUCUAAUUCUAGGCAUGUAAUCUUUACACUAAAUGAAUCAUUUUCAUUCUUAAGCUCUAUCAUCUUCUUUUUAAGACAUAUAUUCUUUUUACCAAUCUUCAUUAGCUCAUCAUGCAAAUCGUUAAAAGCAUCUUGCAAUUCAUCAUAUGUAGGAAGAACACUUACCUCAUCAAGUUCAUCACAUGAUUCUUCCCCAACGGCCAUGAGAGCUAAGUUUGUCAUUUCUUGUUGGUCAUCCUCAUCACUUGUUUCCUCAUCGCUAUCAUCCCAUGUGGCCACCAUAGCUUUCUUCUUGAGUUUGUUGAGAAGAGCACAUUCCGGUCGUAUGUGUCUGGGCUUCUUGCAUUCAUAGCAAGUGAUUGGCUCAUUCUUCUCCUUCUUAUUGUUGUAGCCUCUGAACUUUCUCUGCUCAUUAUUCUUCUUGUAAAAUUUUCUGAAUCUUCUAGCCAACAUAGCCAACUCCUCAUCAUCCAUUUCGCUUUCCUCAUCACUCUCAUGUUUUGAAGCCUUGAGAGCAAUGUUUUUCUUCUUUUCCUCAUGCCCUUUUUCAGCUGCUAAAUCUUCUUCAUAUGAAAUGAGAGAACCAAUUAAAUCAUCAAUAGGUAAAACAUUUAAAUCUUUGGCUUCCUCAAUGGCAGUCCUUUUUGGUCUUCAUUCCUUAGGUAAUGACCUAAUGAUUUUCUUGACUUUCUCGCUAUUUGAAAAAGUUUUCCCCAGGGCUCCUAGAGUGUUCACUAUGUCUGUAAAUCUAGUAUACAUAGAGUACACAUUUUCAUUUUGUUCCAUUUGGAACAAUUCAUAUUGUCGAGUGUACCUACUUAUUUUAGAUUCUUUCACUUGGUUCGUGCCUUCAUAGACAACUUCAAGUUUGUGCUAAAUCUCAUUAGCACUUUCGCAACUAGACACUCUAUGAAACUCUUUCUUAUCUAAAGCACAAAACAAGGCAUUCAUGGCCUUGGAAUUUAGAGAAGCUUUUCUCUUUUCGAAUUCAUUCCAAUCCCGUGAAGGUUUUGGAAUAUCUUCUCCGACUUCAUUUUUAGUCAAAGCCAUGAAAGGACCAUCAUUAACGAUUUCCCAAAUUUCAUAAUCCAAGGCUUGCAAGUAAAUUCUCAUCCUAGUUUUCCAAUAUAGGUAAUCGUUUCCAUCAAAGUAAGGUGGUCUAGUGGUGGACUGUCCUUCCCUAAAUGUGGAAUCAUUUUGAGUUGCCAUUGAUCUUUAGCUCUAGACAGUUAAGUCUAAAUAAGAGCACCUAGCUCUGAUACCAAAUGAAAUAUGAGUGUGCAACCCAAGAGGGGGGUGAAUUGGAAUUUUAAAAUUUAUCCUAGCAAAUCCACACAACAAGCAAUCUAAUGUCUUAAUAAAAAUUGAAAGCAAUAAGUUCAAUAAAAGCACAAUAAUUAAAGAGUAAGAGAGAAGAGAAAUAAACACACGAAUUUUUACGUGGUUCGGCAAUCCCCGCCCACGUCCACGCCUCCAAGCGAUCCAAGCUUAAGGAUUUCACUAUCCAAGCCUUUCCAAGGCUUCAACGAUUACAAUUGACUUCGAGGUGUCAAUAAACCUUUACAAUAAAGAGAUUAUCUCCCAAUCUCUUCACUCAAGUGUCUCACACACUCAAACUCUUACAAUUGAGAUGAAUAAAUGAAGGUUACAAUGAAACUCACUCAAUGAGUAGAUAUUCAAAAAUGAAGAACAAGAAAAGAUUCAAUGUUUGUAUUUCGCAAGUUUAAAUGCUCAAGAUAUCACGUGUACUUUUUAUUUUUGCUUGUUGGAGAACUUCAAAAUGAGUUGGAUUUGAGUUCUUAUAGUUUGAGCUCAUAAACUAGCCGUUACUCACAUUCUAGGCGUAUCCAGUUUGCCAUUUAUGGAAUUCGGUAAGCCGGAUUUAUGUUACCGUUUAGGCAAAAAUUUGAAUUUUGCCUAUCCGGCUUGCCGGUUUCGAAAUCCGGUAAGCCGUUUGCGUUCUGGAUGCAUUCUGCCCCGUAUCCAGUUUUCUGGAUUUUAUAUCCGGUAAGCCGGAUGCUACAGUAACCUGCUACAGUGAAAUUUUUCCUAAAUUUUUAGUUUGACCUCAAAACUUUAUAAAAUUAUAGUAUGACCCAAAACGUUAUGAAACUUUGCAAAUAGGUCCAAUUUCAAAAUUUCUAAGUAAUGCUUCGUUAAUCCCAAAACUUUUUGAAAUUAUGAUUUCACCCAAACUUUGUGAAAUUAUAGAAUGACCCAAAAACAUUUAACUAGUUUCAAAUAGGUCUAAAUCUGAAAUUUAAAAUACUAUCAAGGAUUUUAAAAAUACUUUCAUUUUAGUCCAAAAUGUUUUAAUUCCAUAACAUCAUUUUCUUAUUAUAAAAGCACAAUUCAUAAAUCUUUGCUUAAUAAAUACAUGUGGUUUGUUAUCUUCAAAAUCAAUAUUUAUAGCCAUAUAGGCUAACAGUGAGGGCUUCUAGAAUUCAUGGUACUAUAGUAAUCCUUGAAUAUUUUUGCAUUCUAGACUUAAUUAGCUUUCAUUUAAAAGUAGUUUCAUCUCAAUAUCAUUUUUGUAGAAUUUGAUGUAUUUUUUUGAAUUUGACCCUAUAUUUUAAAAACACUGACAAAGAACUUACUGACAGACCUGGAAACAAUGAAUAAAUUGUAUUGAUCGGUUAUAUUUUAGAGUGAUUCUUGAAUAUUUUUGCAUUAUAGACUUAAUUAGCUUUCAUUUAAAGGUGUUUUCAUGUCAAUAUCAUUUUUGUAGAAUUUGUUGUGAGUUUUUUAAUUUGACCUUGUAUUUUAAGAACACUGACAAAGAACUUAUUGACAGACCUGGAAACAAUGAAUAAACUGUAUUGAUCAGUUAAAUUCUAGAGUGAUUCUUGAAUAUUUUUACAUUCUAGACUUAAGUAACUUUCAUUUAAAAGUAGUUUCAUGUCAAUAUCUGUUUUGUAGAAUUAUUUAUGAUUUUUUAAAAUUGACCCUGUAUUUCAAGAACAUUGGGGAAUUACCAUGUGUGCCCCAGAGGUAAAUACUUAAUUUUGUUUUUGUGAGAAUUAUGAUCAACCAGACCUAAUUCUUUCCCCAAGAAAAAUCUCCACACACUGAUCUUAUUGAAACAAGAACGAAUUCCCAAGAUAACAAUCAGAAAUAAAGCAAGAGUGUUUAAACAGAAAACCAAGAAUAAGAGAAUGAAAAGAAUUGACACAGAGAGUUACGGAGGUUCGGCUGAGUAGCCUACAUCCUCUUGAGAAAUAGAAGCGAUAGCUUUUCUUUGAUACUCAAUAGUUUACAAGUGUCAGAGAAGUUGUUACAAAGGACGUUAUUCUCUAAGUUUGGCUCUAAAGGCCUUAUAUACAAUUCUGAAAGGAUCCAGAUAAAAAUGCUUCACGCCAGCUCUCAUUUCUGGGUUUGUUUCAACAAACCCAGAAAAGUUCUCGCCAAUACUAACUGUUGUUAACAACCCUUUAGCUUGAAAUGGCACUAGCAGCAGUCGUUUAACUAAAGAUUGAAUCUAUUGAUGCUCGUACAAGUCACGUGCAUUACUUAAGUUCUUUGUAUGACAAAGCAUUGUUGUCGUAUGAGUAGCAUCAUCUGUCUGAUUGCUUUGUCGUUUCAUAUUCAAUUCCUGAAAUGACAAAGUCAUCUUCUCCAGAAUUCUUAAUUCAGGUUCACAACUAACAAUUUCCACCUUGAACCUAAAUCAUAGCAUUCCUAUAGCUUCUUCUUCUCAGGUAUCUGUAUCUUCAGUUUCUACAGAUACCAGCUAAGUUUAAGCAAUGCUCAAACUUAGCCAUGGGAACUGGUUUUGUUAACAUAUCAGCAACAUUAUCACUGGUAUGAAUCUUCACAAGCUUCAUAGUGCCUUUUGAGACUUCCAACCUAAUGAAAUGGAGCUUAAUGUCAAUGUGCUUGGUCUUUUCAUGGUAGACUUGGUUUUUGCUCAGAUUGAUAGCACUUUGACUGUCACAUAGAACUGUUAUGGCUGAUUGCUCAUACCCCAGUUCAUUUAUCAUGCCCUUUAACCAUAUUGCUUCUUUGAAGGCCUCUGCAGCAGCUGUAUACUUUGCCUCUAUUGUAGAUAAAGCCACUACACUUUUGAGUGAGGCUUUCCAACUGAUUGUGCAGCUAUUAAGAGUGAAUAAAAAACCAUUAAGUGAUCUUCUAUUAUCCAGGUCUUCUGCAUAGUUAGAGUCAACAUAUCCUUCAACUAGGUUGUAGCUAGCUCUCUCCCCUUCAUACAAUAGGCCAUAGCUUGUAGUUCCCCUUAGAUACCUAAGUAUCCAUUUCACAGCCCUCCAAUGCUCCUUCCUUGGGUUAGACAUAAACCUGCCGACCAGGCUUACUGCAUAUGACAGAUCAGGUCUUGUUAAGACCAUGGCAUACAUUAGGUAACCCACUGAGUUGGCAUAUGGUGUUUUCAACAUUUCAGUUUGUUCUUAUUCAGUGCUUGGACAUUGCUGGCUUGAUAACCUGAAAUGAGCUGCCAUUGGUGUAGACACUGGUUUGCAGUUCAACAUUCCAAACUUCUCCAAGACUUUUUUGACAUAUUUUUCUUGAGACAUAAACAAGGUCCUGGUUGUUCUGUUCUUUACCAUUUCAACUCCCAAAAUCCUUUUAGUUGGGCCAAAAUCUUUCAUAUCAAACUUGUCCCUAAGUUGUUGCUUCAGCAGAUCAAUUAGCUUCAUGUUUUUACAGGCCAGUAGCAUGUCAUCAACAUAUAAGACCAGAUAGAUCACCUCCUCCCCAUGAGUUUUUCUGAAAUAAACACAGCAAUCAUAACUUGAUUUUUGGAAUUUCAGCUCCUGCAUGUAGCUGUCAAAUUUCAGAUACCACUACCUUAGGGACUGCUUCAACCCAUAAAGAGUUUUCUCAGCAAGCAAACCCAAUCAGGGUGUUUAGAGUCCACAAAACCCUCAGGCUGUGACAUUACAAUCUCCUCUUGUAGAUCACCAUGAAGGAAGACUGUUUUAACAUCUAAUUGUUUAAGACGCAUAUCAUAAACAGCCACCAGUGACAAGAUGAUCCUUAUUGAUGUGUGUCUGACUACUGGUGAGAAGACUUUAGUGUAAUCAAUCCCCUCACUUUGGGUGAAGCCCUUUGCUAUCAGUCUUGCUUUGAAUCUCUUGGGUUCAACAUCAUGGAUCCCAUCUUUUAUCUUGUAGAUCCAUUUACAGCCCACAACGUUUCUUCCCUCUGGUUUCUAAAUUAAUUUCCAGGUGCCAUUCUUGUUUAAAGAGUCCAUCUCAUCUUCCAUGGCCUUGAUCCAUUUUUCUGACUCUUUACGUGCAAUAGCUUCUUCAUAAGUUUUUUGCUCCUCUUGGUCAACUUCUUGUGCUGCUGAUAAGGCAUAUGCUAUUAAGUCAGCAUAUUCUAAUCUCUCUGGUGCCCUUACUUGUCUCUUCUAUCUAUCCUUUGUAAGUUGAUAAUCUUGUAAUGAAGUGUGCUCUGGUAAUUGAGCAUUGAUCCCAUAUGACCCUUGAUUUUCUCCAGUGUGACUUGUGUUCUAGACAUCCUCAGUCUUUGAUAGCUCCACCUCAAAGUGAGGUGUCUCUGCCCCUGGGAUUUUCUGAAUUGUGCAUUGUGCAGCAGUCUGACUUUUCAGCAUCUCAGACUCAUUGAAAAUUACAUCCCUGCUUAUUAUGCACUUAGGAGGCUUAAAAUCUACACACCAUAGCUUGUAACCCUUAGUCCCACUAGGAUAUCCUAAGAAGGCACAUUUUCAAUGCCCUUGGUUCAAGCUUGCUCUGCUUGAUAUGAGCAUAAACAGUGCAGCAAAAAAUUCUUAACUUGGUGUAGUCAGCUAACUUCCCUGACCAAAUUUCAUAGGGUGUUUUAAAUUCAAUUACAGUUGAGGGGCAUCUAUUUAUCAGGUAACAAGUUGUACUCAAGGCUUCAACCCACAAUGUUUUUGGCAACUUUGAAUGAAACAACAUGCAUCUAACUCUCUCCAUUAGUAUUCUGUUCAUUCUCUCUGCCAAACCAUUUUGUUGUGGUGUGUACCUUAUAGUUUUAUGCCUUUGGAUCACAUUCUUUUCAUACAAAUCAUCAAACUGUUUAUUACAAAACUCAAGACCAUUAUCAGUUCUAAUUCUUCUCACUUUCCUAUUGGUUUGAGUUUCAAUCAAAUUUUUCUAGGCCUUGAAUCUAUCAACAACCUGAUCUUUACUCCUUAAUGGAUACACCCAUACCAUCCUAGAAAAGUCAUCUAUCAUAGACAAAAAAUAACAACCUCCACCUAGAGAUUCAAUCUGUGAUAGCCCCCACAUAUCCAAGUGAAUAUAAUCCAAAGUACUCUUAGUAUUGUGCAUUGCAGUUUUGAACCUGGUUCUUGAGGAUUUUCCUAGGACACACUCCUCACAGAACCCAACAACAUUUAUCUUAUUACUCCCUAUAGCUCCUUGUUUUUCAAGUUCUUUCAGCCCCUUUUCACUCACAUGGCCCAACCUAAAAUGCCACAAUAAGGUCUUAUCUUGUUCCUGGUUUUCCACUACACCAGCAUCCCCAGAUAUAGCUAUACCUUGCAGUAUGUAUAAACCAUUCUGCAUCUCACCCUUCAUUAAUAUGAAAGAACCUUUAAUGACUUUUAAGGAGCUUAAUUCAAGUUUAAUGCUACACCCUGCCUUGUCUAACAUGCUAAGAGAAAUUAGAUUCCUCUUAAGCUCUGGAAUAUGUCUUACAUUAUCCAGCUCUCUAAUAAUACCAUCUGACAUUUUCAACCUUACAGAGCCAAUACCAGUAACCUUACAUAAAGCAUUAUUUCCCAUCAAGACUUUACCACCAUCAAAGCGUUGAUAGCUACUGAAUAAGUGUUUAUGAGGACACAUGUGAUACGUGUAGCCAGAAUCAAGAACCCAUUUACCUUCAUUUUGCAUGUUUAAAGCUACUAGAACUCCAGCAGAGUCAUAUUCCUUAUCUGAUUCUUUAGAAGCUACAACAGCAUUUCCAUUCCUGUUGUUGUUUUCCUUAGGCUUAUUUUUUCUCUCAGGGCAGUCCCUCUUGAAGUGGCCCUCCUUGUGGCAAUGAAAGCACUUCAAGGUCUUGUUCUUUUUCCCUUUACAACCCUCUCUUUUCUCUGAUCUUCCCCUUACUGUCAACCCCUCACCAUCUUUAAUUUAUGAUCUCAUGGUGCUCUCUUUGGAACUCAACGAAAUGUUCAUAGGAAGGUGGUAAUGAAGAUAACAGAAUAAUUGCUUUAUCCUCAUCUUCAAUCUUCACAUUAAUGUCUUCAAGAUCCAAAAUGAUCCUAUUGAAGGAAUCAAUGUGAGUAGUCAAAGAGCUGUCUUCUUCCAUUUGGAGUGUGUAGAGCAUUUUCUUUGUACUCAAUCUUUUUGUCAAAGAUUUCUUAAUGUACAAAUCCUCCAGCUUCUUCCAAAGGCCUGCAGUUGUUGUUUCAUCUCCCACUUCUCUCAGUACUUCAUCCCCCAGACUUAGGAUUAUAGUGCUAUGAGCCUUGUCCAUGGUGUCUUGCAUGUCUUCAUCUUUGACUUUGCUGAUCUUUUUCGAAGUUCUUAGAUCCUCCAACACUUCUUCGAUUCCUUGAUAGACCAGCAAUGCUCUCAUCUUCAGCCUCCAAAGAUAGAAGUCAUUUUCCCCGUGAACUUCUCCACAUCAAGCUUAUGUGUUGCCAUUCUUGCUCACAAGAUUAAGAGAUGUGAGCUCUGACACCAAUUUGUGAGAAUUAUGAUCAACCAGACCUAAUUCUUUCCCCAAGAAAAAUCUCCACACACUGAUCUUAUUGAAACAAGAACGAAUUCCCAAGAUAACAAUCAGAAAUAAAGCAAGAGUGUUUAAACAGAAAACCAAGAAUAAGAUAAUGAAAAGAAUUGACACAGAGAGUUAUAGAGGUUCGGCUGAGUAGCCUACAUCCUCUUGAGAAAUAGAAGACAUAGCUUUUCUUUGAUACUCAACAGUUUACAAGUUUCAGAUAAGUUGUUACAAGGAACAUUAUUCUCUAAGUUUGGUUCUAAAGGCCUUAUAUACAAUUCUGAAAGGAUCCAGAUAAAGAUGCUUCACGCCAGCUCUCAUUUCUGGGUUUGUUACAACAAACCCAGAAAAGUUCCCGCCAAUACUAACAGUCGUUAACAACCCUUUAGCUUGAAACAACACUAGCAGCUGUCGUUUAACUAAAGAUUGAAUCUGUUGAUGCUCGUGCAAGUCACGUGCAUUACUUAAGUUCUUUGUAUGACAGAGCAUUGUUGUCGUAUGAGCAGCAUCAUCUGUCUGAUUGCUUUGUUGUUUCAUAUUCAAUUCCUAAAACGACAAAGUCAUCUUCUCCAGAAUUCUUAAUUCAGGUUCACAGCUAACAGUUUUGAAGAUUACCAUAUUUAUAUAUGGUUAAUAGAGUUCUCGACAAGCUUCCAAAAGAAAAAGGAAGGAAAGUUUAUCAAGUAGGUUUGAGUAUAGAAAUGCACCUAUUACCGAGCACACUUAACUAAUGAAGAUCUCAAUGAUGUCACAUCUAAAAAUCUGUAUCAAUCUUGUAAUGAAGAGAAUUUGACAAAGAAGAAACGUGGCCCUACUGUAUGUCAUGAUGUGGCAAAUGAAGAUGGGAAGAAGAUAGUCUUAGAAUUGAAUAAUUUGGGGCAACCUAUUGGAAAAUCUUAUGUACUAUAUUCAUCGUUUUAUGGUAGUUUGUUAAAGAAGGUUGUGUCUAUAAACUAUGAUGAUUGGAGAUAUGUUCCAAAACAACAGAAAGCUUUAUUGUUGAGAGCACUCGAGGUAAACAUGUGUACACAUAUUUUUUUAGAGUGUAGUUCAAAUUAUAACAUGACACUAACAUUAGUUAAUUUUUUAUUUGCUUGAAACAUUCAGCAUAAGUUUGUUUUGGAAGGAGAUGCAAUCAAAAAGUAUACGCUACAGAUGAUGGAAAAGUCUGGCGAGCACAUAAAUCAAGAUUGACAAAAAAAGUUGGAUGCUCGACCUAGUCUUGUCAAACCUGACGAGUGGGAGACUUUUAUUAAAAAAAAAGACCUCAAAAGCCUCAUGGUAUGUAUGCUUAUAGUCCUAGUUGAAACAUUCAUUCAUGUAUAUAUUAUUUUAUUUAGAAUGAUGUAAUUAAUGUAUAUUAAAAUAGGAUAAAAACAAUGUUUUUAAGGAAAUGAGGGCGAAACAAGAUAUUCCAUAUACCGGAAGUCGAAUGGGAUAUGCUCGUAUGCAAGAUAAGAUGGUAAAUCUUUAAUUAUAUUCAAACAAUAUAGUAGUUAUCUAGCUAGCGUCUGUUAUUACUUUGGGAUGUAUAUAGUUAAUUCUGACUUAAAAAUAUUUUUAUUCAAGAAGAAAACAGUUCAAAUCCAUCAGAAAUAACUCGAAUUGAUGUUUGGAUUAAAGCACAUACUAAAAAGAAUGGUGAACCAUCUAGUUCAAAAGUUGUUGAAGUGAAGGUAUAUGUCAAAUUUAUUGAUGAUAACUUAAAUAUGCUAGCAAUUAUUAUUGGAAAUAUUAUAAUAAAUAACUCUUUCUUGAGUUUAGGAAAUGUAUGAAGCUGAAAAAAAUUCAAAUUUGUUAGAAGCAGAAUCAAAAUCUGUUAAAAAUGUUAUACUUUCAAAGUUUAUUGGACUUGAGUAAGGAGGUCGUGUUAGUGGUUAAGGAGCAAGAGUGAUGCUAUCUAAAUUAGAGGCAAUAUCUCAGCAAACUAAGAAGAAAGCCAGAAUGCAAGAACAAAUUGACACAUUACAAGACACAGUGAAGCAAAUGGAAGGUUUCAUGGAUGAUCAAAACAAACUCAUACAAAGUUUAAUGAGCAAAUUGGUAAUAGCAAGUACCUCAUUAAAUGUUACGUUAAUUACCUGUGAAUCUUAAUUUCAUAAAAUGGUGAAAUCAACUUCUUUUUUUAAUUUCUUUUUGUACAAAGUGAAGCAUCAAAUGAUGGAUAAAAUCAAAAUCUAUCUACAUCAACUCAAUCUAAUAGUACCCCACAGGUAAAGUUUAAACUUAUACAACAAUUUAUGCUAUCAUAAUUAAUAGUAUAGUAACUAUUUACUUAAUUAUAAUUAGAAAUGUCGUUUUGCUUAUGAAUGCAACAUGUAAGCCCAAAUCGGAAAGGCCAAAAGUGCAAGUUGUUGAAUUGGCUUGAAGUAGAUGAAGUAGUUGCCAUAGGACGUUGGGUAACAAAUGAUCCUAAUGCAAUGGUGCAUUGUGUAGCUCUUGGAAAAAAUGCUUCUCGUGUGUGGGUAGAUGAGAUGAAAAAUCCUUCUGCUGAGUUGUGGAAAAAAUAUGCAGAUAUUGGAAACAAUAGAAGAUGCUUUGGGAAGUUCAAUUGCAUGGCCAACAGAAGCGAUUAUUGCUAUGGAAGAUUAAUUUUGGUAUGAAUAGUUAAAAGUUUAAUUGAAGGCAAUAUUUUGACUUAGUGUUUUGGUUAGAUGAUUUUGAUGGGUCUAAUGAUAUAUAUCAUUGUUGGAGUGACUAUUGGUAUUUGUUAAACUUGGCAUUCACAAUUUUGAAUGAUGUUUACUGUGAUGCUAGAUCUUCUUUUGCACAUUAACUUUAGUUUGCCUUUGUAUAUGUAUGAUAUUAAUUUUUUUACUCUUAAUAUACCUGAUGGUAUUUGUUGUUCAUGAAUAAAUGAAAUGUAGUUUGUUCCUUUUGUUAAAUUUGCCAUUUUUAAUUAUAAAUCAUAUUGUAUUCGAUUAUGUUAUAAAUAUCUGAUAAAUGUUAUAAAGUAAAUAAAAAGUUACAAAAUUAACCAAGCACAAUAGCAUUCCAUAAAAGAUUAUUAUAGCAUUAUCAAACUUCAUAAAAUGCUAUCAAUAGUUUGUAGCAUGAAAACAUGUUAUGGCAUUUCGGCUAAUGUUAUAGACUCUUUAGCUAAAUUAUAACAUUUAUAUAAAUGCUAUAAAUUACUUGAAUAACAAUUAUUCCUUUAUCAUUUAAAAACCAUUAUAAACAAAUAGCACUCCAAAAAAAUGCUAUAUCUUGAUAUUUGAUAACGUUAAAUAAAUGCUAUUAUAGUUUUAUAACAACAUUUAAAAGUUGCUAUACAUCUAUAGUGGUUUUUAAAAACACUAUAGAGAAAAGAUAGCAUGGGCAAUCACGACGUUAAAUAAACACUAUAAUAACGAUAAUAUAACUUUUUUUCGCUCUAUAAAAAGUCAUAUUUGUUGUAGUGAAUCUAGGCUCCUACAUAACGAUAUGUCGCCAUUACUCUUGUAGAUCACGAUCCAGCACCAACAAUCUUUUUAGAUCACGAUCUGUCACCAUGAUCUUUCAGGUUAUGACUCAAGUUUGAUCUACACUUGACGUGUGAAUGCCUUUAUCAGCACUAAAAGCAACUAGCAAGAGAAAAUAUUUCUCUCAAAAUUAGAGAGAAAAACUCUUUUUCUUUGAUCUGUAUAUUAUUGAUCCUCUCAUCUUUUAGAGAAAAAAAGCCAUUUUAUUCUAUUUGGUGGAAACCCUAGGCUCCAUAUUUAUAUAUUUUUGAAUUCUAUUAAAUCAAAUUUGAUUUAAAUUAAAAGACAAUAAAACCAAAAGUGGCAUUACUUGUUCUUGUUAUAAAGGCCUACCUUGUGAAAUAACACAAGGCCCCUUACACACAAGCAUAUUAAAUGGAGCCUCCCACUAAAUAAUAUAUUUAAACUUUUAACCCAAAUAGCUAGUUACCUUACUUAUUAAUCCAGUAGCGGCGCAAUCAAUUAAAUGAGCUAACCCGGGGAUCAUAUUGGUACAUACAAUAGUGGCUACAAUAAUUAGGUCUGUAAUUAAACUAGCCCAAUUAUUUAAUUCCAAAUCUAUUCCACUAAAAGAUUGGAAUUGACUUCCAUAAUUAUAUGUUAUCUAGGACAGUGUUCUCAAAUAAUAAUUUAGCCCAUGCCAUAUUGAUUUCUUUACUGAACAAUUCUUUAUACCACAUCGCUAAAUAAAUUGAUCUCAACUGUCCAAUCAAUUUAAUUACAUCUUGUUCAUUGACACUUAUUGGUUUUCUCUAAUGAUCAUUUUCAACAUACUAAUUAUGUUGACACACUCUAACCAGAGAAUUCUAUGAUCAAAUGCUGAAAACCCAUAAAGAGAUGUGUUGUACCAAUUCUAUAAUUUUAAUCUAUAAUCUCACUACUCAAAAUUGCUUCCACGAAGAUACCGGGUAAUCUUGACUACAAAUGUAUGUCACACCCAUUGGUAACUCAAAUGAAAUGACAAUCACGAACAUGAAACUAUAAUUAACUCAAGAUUAAGAUUGCAAUAAAAUCAAUGCCUAUGAGAGUUAAUAAGUCUGACAGUCAUUUCAACGUUAAUUAAAUCUCAUAUGUGAUCUUGUUCAAUGUAGUCAAACUACAUCAGUAAAUUCAUACAUGAUUAAGACAAAUCAUUCAAUGAAUUUACUACAAUCUCAACAUAAAUAAGGUGCCCAACUCUAUUUAUCAACUGCGAACUUAAUUUAUUUAAUCAUAAGAUUACUUGUAUAUUAUGUCUUCUGUGAAUCCAUAUGAUGAUCACAUAAAUACAUAUAAUAUGAUUAAAAUGACCUUAUUCAAAAUAUUUAUGCAAUUGAAAAUAUCUCAAAUAUUUUAUUAAUCAGAAAAAUAAAUAAAUCAAUAUACUUUAAAGAGCACAUAACCCCAAUAACUAGCACCACGUACCUUGCUUAGGAAAUUUUUAACUAAAAUAUCAUAUCACGCAAGGACAUUAUAUAUUUCUUUUUUGAUUGCUACUAUUGUAGUUUCCAUGAAAUUGAUAACUUCAAAAGAACAUUCUUGAAUAUACCCAUCACAAUCAACAUACCUUGAAAUGAUAGCCAUCUAACCUUUACAUUACUACUAUUAUUUGCUGAAAAAAUUAUUACAAAAUCAGCUAAAAAACAAAUUUCUCUUUUUUGCAACUCAUGCUAUUUAAUUCAGUCAAUCAUUUAAUCCAUAUUUCCUACAACUUCUAAAUGGCCUUCCAUACUUCUAAAUCUAUCAUGAAAGCAAUAAGGAACUUUUUAUGGUCUCAUGAUAAAGAAGUUGGGAAAAUUAUUUCUAUUUCUUGCGAUUAAGUCCGUCUUAUUAAAUUAGACGAUGGACUUGGUCUUAGAAAUCUUCAUAACAUGAAUUAUGUUGCCAUAUUAAAGUUUACAUAGGUCCCUAUGACUUCAAAUUCCAUUUGGGGCAUUUUUUUUCAAGAACCGAUUCGAGAUUCCCCUCACUCAUGGUCUAAUGGCUAUAUAUUUUCUUCUCUAUAGACUAGAAUUAAAAGUGUACUUGUCUAUAUUCUGGAAAGAACUAGAUGGCUGGUUGGUAAAGGUAAAUAAAUAUCUUUUUGGAGAAGCAAAUGACUUAAUUCUUCCAUCAUCAAUUAUCUACAAGUUGGCCUAAAAUGUUUGAACUCUAAUGUUGUAGCUGUAAUUCAUAACCAGAGAUGACAUCUUCCUGUUGCUUUAAACUUCUCUUUUCCUAGCAUUGUUGUAGCAAUUUUGCAAGUUUAUCUUCCAUCCAAGUUAGUAUAGGACCAUUCCUUUAAUGGUGAACUUGAUUUUGCAGACAGUUAUAACUUCUUCGAUAAGCGAGUUACUCAAGCUCCAAAGGGAACCUCAAUUUCGAAAAGUUAUGUUUCUUCAAAAUUUUCAACUUUGGCUUGGCAAAUUUUUAAUGGAAAGCUUUCAAACAGAUGACCAACUUUAGAUUAGUGGUUUUCAAAUGGUCUCAAUUUGCCUUUUAUGUAACUUCUUCCAAAUUAUCAAAUCUGCAUAUCAUCUUUUCAUCUCUUGUUUUUUUGUUCAAAAGCUUUGACAUUGGCUUUCAAAUAUGUUCAAGACUUCUGUCCCGCAUUAUGGUUCUCCUUUAUCAUUUUAGUAAGAGAUUGUUUCUCUUACUAAAUUCAAUCCUCAACUCUAUCACCUUUGGAUUGCAGCUUAAUAAAUAUUUUUUUGUCAAAUUUGAAAGUCUCGGAAUAAGCUCAUAUUUGAAGAUUCGGCUCCUUCAUUUCAUGGAUGUUGUGUUUAUAUUAAGGCAGCUUUGAAGAAGCUUCAAUGUCCUUGUUAUAUGUUUCCUAACUUAUAAGCAAAUUUUUUCUACUUUUUGUGUCUCUCAACCUGGGUUAUGCUCCAAGAAUUACCUAUCAUUUGGAAUAAGCCUAGCUCUCCAUAGAUAAAGCUCAAUAUAGAUAUCGUAUCUAAAGGAAACUUGAGCUUUAGUACUAGUGGCGGUGCAUUUACAAACUCAACAAGUUAUUGUCUUGGAUGCUUUACUGUUAAGAAUGAAUUCUGAAGAUUAUGUCAGCAGCUGAGUCAACAAGUUUGUUGAGUCAUUGCCACGUCAGCAAUUGGUUAUAUAGGCAAAUUAGUUCUUAGACUUUGUUAUAUCUUUCCCACCAAUAGUUUGUUACAAGUUAUUGAAAAUGGAUAGGUUUUUGUAAGCAUUAGUUUAAGGAUCAAGAUCGGUAGAAAGAUCAAGAUCAGGAAGAGCUUCUCUUCGAAGGUGCCGCGAGCCCCUCCUCGGGAGGAGUCCUCCCUUUGCUCCUUAACCUACAGGGUAUUAGCAGGUUGAGGUUAUUCACAUGCUUUUGUUGCUGUAGAAUCUUCUGGACGCAUGAAUAUAAAGCUCUAUAAUCCUUCAGUUUAUUUUCUCAUAUUAAUAAAAAUGAAUUCGGUCUAUUGAUUUUCUCUCUAAAGCUUUGGAAAUUUUCUCUUCAACCAAACACAAUAUUUUCUUUAAUUGGUAUUAGAGCCACUUUGUUCACAAGUUAUGGCUUCUUCAAGGUCGAAUCCUCCAACACAUAUCUCUUCUGGAACAUCAUUUACCUUCACCACACCAAUCAAACUUGAUCGCACAAAUUACACGAUCUGGAAACAAUAAGUACUCUCUUCAAUUCGUGGCAAUGGUCUUGAAAGCUGCGUGGAAACGUCAAGAUCAACUUCUACUUAGCUGGAUCAUAUCUUCAAUGAGUCUUGAAAUUCUCAGUCUUGUGGUAAGCUUACAAACUUCUUUUGAGCUAUGGAAGAAUCUAGAAAAACAAUUUGGUUCUGAAUCAAUGGCUAAAAAAGUUCACCUUAAAAUGCUUCUUAAUAAUCUAAGAAAAUGAUCUCUGUCUAUGACUGAAUAUUUCACAUAACUCAGAACUAUUAGUGAUGGUCUUGCUUUAGCUGGAAGUCCUAUAAGCAACACUGAUCUAAUCACUCAUCUUAUCACUAGAUUAGAUCAUUCCUAUUAUCUUGAGUGAAGCUUAUGCUAUGUUAUUGACGCAUGAGGCUAGACUUGAAAAUAGUAAGAUUGUUGACAGUAAAGAGGCUAAAAGCAACUCUAUGGCUAAUGUAGCUCACACUGGUAACUUUCAAAAGAAAGGUAAUGGUAAUGCUCAGAAUAAUUGGAAUAAAAAUGGAGGUGGUAACUGGAAUAAUUGUAACUGGAAUCAAAAUUUUACUGGUAGAGGUGGAGGGUAUCAAGGUCAAGGUUCGGGAAGAGGUAACUGGAAUGGAAAUUUUAGAGGCUUUGCAAGUGGUUUUAAUACUGGGGGUGUUAACAGUGGAGGAUUUGCUGGUAAUUUUAAUAAUGGAAGUACUAAUACUGGUGGCUUUGACAAAGGUGGUUUUGGGGGUAAUAGAAAGAACUUUGCUCAGGGAGGAUUUGUAUCUCAGAUUUGCUUUAAGUUCAAUCAUAUUGCUACUAAGUUUAGAGACAGGUUUAACAAGAACUUUGCUCCAAGUUUUCCAGUUCAAGGCUAUCCUCCAAACCAAGGACCAAAAUCAGCUUAUGUGACUACAUCUGAGGGAGUUGCUGAUCAGGGCUGGUAUCUUGACAGUGGAGCUACUCACCAUCUUACUAACUCAAUUCAGAACUUAACUGAUGGUAAAAUUUACUUUGGCUAAAAAUCUUUACUUGUAGGAAAUGGUCAAGGACUUCAUAUCACACAUGUUGGUAAUGCAUGCUUGCAUACUUCCUUUGGUUCAUGCAUUCAUCUUCAUAAUACCCUCUGUGUUCCAAGAAUUACCAAAAAUCUCUUAAGUAUUUCUAAACUUCUUUCUGAUAGUGACAUAAUUGUUGAGUGUUAGAAAAUGCAUAUUUAUAAAGGAGAAAACCGUCAUUUUACAUUUCAAGUCUUACUAACAACCCUUACUUUUAUGUAUUUAACAUUCUUAUGAUUUAAUUACGUGUGUUUUAUUUUAAUUAAGUAAUUUAUGUAUUUUAGGGGCAUUAUAGUCAUUUCACAAUAAAGGAGAGAUCAGACGGCAAAACGGACAUCACUUUUGAACUCAGGACGGUCGAAAACCUUAGGAGGAGCAUAAAAGGAAAAAUGGCACUAUUCACAUGUACGGUACUAUUCACGUGUACGAUACUGUAUACGUUACUGUUCACGACACUGUUCACAUAGACGGAUGAUGACGUGGCAUUGACCGAUGAUGUGGCAUUGACUGAUGAGGUGUCACGAUCCUGUUGGACUAAAAUUCUUAUGUACUGUUGAUGGUGACGUGGCAGCAUAUCAGUGGACGAAAAAUCUCGCGUACGGUGCAUGCAUCACACAGGAUUAUUUUCAACCAAACCGCGUUACUGUUCAUCCGGGUCAAACCGCGUUACUGUUCAAAGUCGGGUCAAACCGUGUUACUGUUCAUCCGCGUGGUCAAACCGUGGACUGUUGACUGAUGACGUGGCGCAAUCCUGAGCGUCCAAACUAUUUUUAAUCCGAUGGCCAUGAUUUACUCCAUGUAUCUAUAAAAAGGGGGCCUCCCCCCCCUAAUUUGAUAUCUCUGAAUCCAUUUUUGGGAUCCAUUUUCUGUAAUUCCCUCUCCAUCUUGUAUUUUCUUCGUAUUUUAAUAAAUUUUCAUUUUGCCCCUAGUUCAAUUAUGAGUGGCUAAUUUUCUUUCAAGCUUGGGUUGAAGGUGAAGUCUCAACAUGUGUCAUGGGCUUAAUUUGGUAAAUUUAUUUUCUCUUCCCCUCUAGUUUUUGUGGAUGUUUUGACUUCUCGUCGACAAAUAAUACUAAUCUUGUCUAGUACCGCCUUGGUUACACCGGCCCUCUAGUACAAGGUUAUUAUUAUUUGGCACGAUAAGCCCUUAGCACCAUAUUGAUUAGAGCGUGGUUCAUGAGGUGUGGAUUCCCCCCUCAUGAUUUAAUUGGCAUUAAUACGGAUUAUUUAGCCCAUGAUGCAUGUUGAUAUGGAUCCAGAUACCCAAGUACGUCAUUUCAAUAGAUCUUCGCUUCAAUUUAUUCUCGUCAUUUCAAUUCCAAUUUCAGAAUUUAUUAUCGCCAUUUUAAUUUAAGUUUUAGCAUAUUCCAAAUCAUUUCCACCAAAAAAUCCAACCACUCAUUUACAAAAUUAAUUCUAUACACAAUUAAAAUCCACCUCCUCGUGGGAUCGACACUCGUCACCAUUAGUCUAUACUACAAUAGAUUCGUGCGCUUGCGAGUACAUUAAAAUUUGCACAACAAGUUUUUGGCGCCGUUGCCGGGGAGGUAAGUAAUUUUAAUUCAUAAAAUUAAUUUUUGUGAAUAAUUUCUUUUAUUUGUUUUCUUGUAUUUUUUUUUAUUAUUAAAAAAAAAAGAAAAAAAAGUGAAUCUACAUUUAAAGGUUAGUAUUUCUUUUCUUUUUCUCUUCUUUAAAAUUUUGUAAUUUAAUUUUCCAUUUAUUUUUCUUUGUAAUUUUUUUUUUGUUUAUCUUAUUAAUUUAAUUUUUAGUUAAUUUCUUUCACGUAUUUAUUUUUGUGUAUUUUUAUAGAAAGGUUGUAAUAGCGCAAUAAGGUUAGUAUCGUAAUUUCUCCCUCUUCUUUAUUUUUAUUUGUUUUGUUCCCAUCUUUAUUUUUUGUUACUCACUCCACGAUUGAGCAACAGAAUCGCACCAUUGAUGGACUACGAAAUGAGUUGAGAGCAGGCUUCAAUUCACAAGCUCAAUCAGUUUCAAGCCUGGAGAAGAUGGUGGGACAACUUGCUUCUUCAGUUCAAACCUUGGCAAUGACCGUUGAGAAAGGUAAGUUUCCAAGUCAACCAGUGCCUAAUCCUAAAGGAGUACAUGAAGCAAGUACCAGUUCACCACAACAGCAUGGAGAGGUCAAAGCAGUAAUGACCUUGCGAAAAGGAAAAGAAGUCGACAACAAGGUGGAGAUGCCAGUGACAAAAGAAAAUCAAAUUGUACCUGUGAAUGUUGAUGACUCAUCACCGGAGGAGAAAGAAGAAACCAACCCACAAGAAUAUGUUCCCAAAGCUCCAUUUCCUCAGAGGUUAGCGAAAGGAAAAAAGGGAAAAUCCACAGGUGAGAUUCUUGAAAUCUUCAAACAGGUAAGUGUUAACAUCCCUUUGCUUGAUGCUAUUAAACAAGUUCCAUCUUAUGCCAAGUUUCUUAAAGACCUUUGUACUAAAAAGAGAAACAUGCAUGUUCAAAAGAAGGCAUUUUUAACAGAAAACGUUAGUUCUAUA